UAGGCUCACAUUUCGGACGUCUCGGUCCUGGCCUUUUUGUGAACUCCUCGAGUGUAUAAUCGAACAGUCUUGCUGCCCUCUGCUGCUACCCCUAGUUUUAAGGCGCUAGAACCUACGAGCCGGUGAAGCCUUGUGUUGUUUGUGUGCUGUCCGGAAUCAGCUAGAAGUGAUCUUCUUUUCCUUUUGUAUCAAACGAAACUUGAAAGGAUAUUUUGAUAUUUAGAUGCUGUUCAUUUACUGGUUAAAUCAGGUUUGAGCCUGGGGCGGCUCGGUUCUUGCUUUACUGGAUGCGCGCAUGGGUCUCUUUUUGUGGGGACCAUGGAGGGUGUCUUUGAUUCAUAGCAUUUUCGAAACGCAAAAAUACAAAAGCGGGUCAUGUCCUUGAAUUCUGUAGGUUAGACAUGCAUAUAGAUUUCAGUGAUGAAAAUUAAUUAUGGAUUGAUUUGAGGAUGGAAUUUUUCAUCAACAUAGUGCAAAUCCUCCCCCGGUAGGGAAAACUUACCUCCUUCGAGAUCUACGGAAAGCUAGGAGGCUGUCCCGUCCAAAUGCGGGCCGUAUGCCGGCCCUCCCAAUUGUGCAGACGCGCCGUGGAGACAUGCUCUUCCACCACCCACGGGCUGCUUGGACAGAGGGAGAUGGGCUCGGAGAAGAUAGCCUGGUUUAUUUGUCUAGAUAGAAUACUGGUCCAUGAAUGAAUUAUUUGGCGACUUGUCUGGUUUGAAGACAUCGUCAUAGCAUUUUCUCUUCUUUUUUUUGGUUAAUUAACUAACGGACUGUUUACGUUUCAGUUGUUCAGAUUUAUGAGCGCUAAAAUUAUUUUAUUUUUGGAUGGAUUAUUUUUUCCAAGUUUCUAUAGUUCUCAUGUUUCCCCCUUGGUAUUGGAAUUUACGAGUAACUUUUUUUAUUAGGGGAUGAAUUAUAUUUUAUAAGUUUCUAAAGUACUCCUGUGCCGUAAUUCAAUUUAUACCUUCUUUUUUCUUGAAGUUUGAACGACAUCCCUCCAUUCCAAUGAAUAAUCCGUGCACGCCUCCUAAAAUCCAACUUUGCCCAACAAUUAGAUUAAUAAUAUAUAUUUUUGUGACUUCAAAAUUGUACCUCUAAAAUUUCUUUUCAAUACGAAUUCAACAAUAUAAUUUUUAUCACAUAUAAUCCAAAUUUUGGUAGGUCUAAUUUAUGGUCAAAGUUUAAUUUUAGGGUAUGUACGUUAUACAUUGAAAUGGUGGCAGUAGUUAUACGUCAGCGUCUCAUAAGGCAAAACUGUCGGGGAACGCAGUAUUUUAAAAAAUUUCCUACGGUCACGCAAGAUCUAUCUAGGAGAUGCAUAGCAACGAGAUGGGAGAGUGUGUCCACGUACCCUCGUAGACCGAAAGCGGAAGCGUUUAGUAACGCGGUUGAUGUAGUCGGACGUCUUCACGAUCCAACCGAUCCAAGCACCGAAUGUAUGGCAUCUCCGUUGUAACACCCUGAGGAUCAUGCUACAAUAACUCUCUGUGAUUAAGCUAAUCAUGUUGCUAAACAGGGCAUGAUCACAUAUGGAAUCGCAUUUCUUUUCAAACUCCUAAUUCAAACUUCAAUUAAAAUUAAAGUGGAAAAUAAAAGUUUUCAAAAAUUUAAACAAAAAUGUUCGGUGGGUGCCAAAUAAUACACUGGUAAUUAUGGUGGAGAAAACACAUUUUUAUAAAAUAUCUAAAUACUUUUAAAUGAAAUAAAACAGAAAAGAAAAUAAACAAAUAAAAAGAAAAUGCAAAAAAACACAGACAAAGAAAAAGAAAAAAAGGAGAAGGCCCCCCCCCCCACAGCACCCCUGGCCCAACUGGGCCGACCCCCGGCCCAGCCCACCUCUCCCACUCGCCCCCCUUCCCUGUUCCCCCGACCGGGGUCGGAACAGGGGCAGUCCCCGACNNNNNNNNNNNNNNNNNNNNNNNNNNNNNNNNNNNNNNNNNNNNNNNNNNNNNNNNNNNNNNNNNNNNNNNNNNNNNNNNNNNNNNNNNNNNNNNNNNNNNNNNNNNNNNNNNNNNNNNNNNNNNNNNNNNNNNNNNNNNNNNNNNNNNNNNNNCCCCGCUCUCCUCUCGGCCCCUGCGCCUCUCUCUUCCCCCCCAGAUCCGCGCCGCUCUCUCCUUCCCCACGCCCGAGGCGGUCGCCGCCGUUCCCGUCGUUCACACGGCCACCGUGCCCACCUCGCCGCCCCACGUUGUCUCCAAGGACCGCCGUCGCCCGCUGCUUCGUCUGGUGCAGCCCGUUGGAGACCGGAGCCCCUACAACGAGCACACCGAGCUCGUCUUCGACUUCGGACGCCGGCGACCCCCCUUCUUCCCCGGCGCCGACCUGCUGCUCCUAAGCCCCUCACCGGCCUCCGUGUGCCGCGCGGUGAGCCUCUCCCCCUCCUCCCCUGUCCUCUCUCUCUCUCGCGCGCCCCCUAGCGGCGUCCCCACGCGCGCCCGAACGCCGCGCCGCGGAGCUCGUCGCCGGCGGGUCUCCGGUGACCAUUUGGUCAUGGGCGUAGGCCCGUUAGCUCGACCGCAUCGUGCCGCACCCGCCUAGCUAGUUAGUUCGGCCGCUCGCGCGCUCUAACGCCGCACCCGCCCCAGCCCGAAGCACUUCGACGCCGGCGAGCUCGUAGCNNNNNNNNNNNNNNNNNNNNNNNNNNNNNNNNNNNNNNNNNNNNNNNNNNNNNNNNNNNNNNNNNNNNNNNNNNNNNNNNNNNNNNNNNNNNNNNNNNNNNNNNNNNNNNNNNNNNNNNNNNNNNNNNNNNNNNNNNNNNNNNNNNNNNNNNNNNNNNNNNNNNNNNNNNNNNNNNNNNNNNNNNNNNNNNNNNNNNNNNNNNNNNNNNNNNNNNNNNNNNNNNNNNNNNNNNNNNNNNNNNNNNNNNNNNNNNNNNNNNNNNNNNNNNNNNNNNNNNNNNNNNNNNNNNNNNNNNNNNNNNNNNNNNNNNNNNNNNNNNNNNNNNNNNNNNNNNNNNNNNNNNNNNNNNNNNNNNNNNNNNNNNNNNNNNNNNNNNNNNNNNNNNNNNNNNNNNNNNNNNNNNNNNNNNNNNNNNNNNNNNNNNNNNNNNNNNNNNNNNNNNNNNNNNNNNNNNNNNNNNNNNNNNNNNNNNNNNNNNNNNNNNNNNNNNNNNNNNNNNNNNNNNNNNNNNNNNNNNNNNNNNNNNNNNNNNNNNNNNNNNNNNNNNNNNNNNNNNNNNNNNNNNNNNNNNNNNNNNNNNNNNNNNNNNNNNNNNNNNNNNNNNNNNNNNNNNNNNNNNNNNNNNNNNNNNNNNNNNNNNNNNNNNNNNNNNNNNNNNNNNNNNNNNNNNNNNNNNNNNNNNNNNNNNGUUUGGCUCGUCGGAGUUGCUCCGGCGCCGGCCGCCGACGUGGCUGGCCUGGGGCCCCCCCAGUGCCACUGCCAGUGGGCCCCGUGGGCCCCGUUGACUGGGUCCACCCAGUCAACGUGCUGACUGGGCAGGCCCAGCCACUGACAUGCGGGCCCCGCCGCAAAAAUUAAAAACAAAAACAAAAAGAAAAAUGUUUUAUAAAUAAAAAUAAUUAGAUUAACUAAUCACUCACUGACAUAUGGGGCCCACCCCUCUAAUUAGACUGUUAGUUUAGUUUAAAUUAAUAUUAGACUAACAGAGGCUGACAUGUGGGUCCCACUGGACCCACCUAUCUGGUUUGACUGGUCAGCCGACCUGUUGACCUGCUGACGUCAGCAUUGCCUCAUGCUGACGUCAUAAUUCAUUUUUGCUUAAUUCAAAUAAUUCCAGAAAUUCAAAUAAACUUUGAAAAUUCAUAUCUUUUAAACCGUAACUCGGAUGAAAAUGUUUUCUAUAUGAAAGUUGCUCAGAACGACGAGACGAAUCCGAAUACGCAGUCCGUUCGUCCACCACACCUCCCUAACCUAUCGAACUAGCAACUUUCCCCCUCCGGUCCGUCUGUCCGAAAACGCGAAACAUCGGGAAUACCUCCCGGUUGUUUCCCCCCUUCACCGGUACCAUCUACUGUCGCGUUAGGUCACACCUAGCACCGCUCAUUGUCAUGUCACGCAUCGUCAUGCUUAUGUUUGCAUUGUAUUUACUGUUUCUUCCCCCUCUUCUCUCCGGUAGACUACGAGACCGACACUGCUGCUGCCCAGUUCAACUACGGAGUCGACGACCCCUCCUACUUGCCAGAGCAACCAGGCAAGCCCCCCCUUGAUCACCAGAUAUCGCCUAUGCUUCUCUAUACUGCUUGCAUUAGAGUAGUGUAGCAUGUUACUGCUUUUUGGUAUCCUAUCCUGAUGCAUAGCCUAUCCUUGCUACUACUGUUGAUACCUGUACCUGCAAUCCUACAUGCUUAGUAUAGGAUGCUAGUUUUCCAUCAGUGGCCCUACAUUCUUGUCCGUCUGCUGUGCUAUACUAUCGGGCCGUGAUCACCUGGGCGGUGAUCACGAGUAUAUACUUAUAUACUAUAUACAUGACACAUGAGAUGACUAAAGUCGGGUCGGCUCGUAGGAGUACCCGCGAGUGGAUCUUUGUGGCGGAGCGACAGGGCAGGUUGAGACCGCCUAGGUGAGAGGUGGGCCUGGCCCUGGUCGGCGUUCGCGGUUACUUAACACGCUUAACGAGAUCUUGGUAUUUGAUCUGAGUCUGGCCAUUUGGUCUAUACGCACUAACCAUCUACGUGGGAGUAGUUAUGGGUAUCCCGACGUCGUGGUAUCAGCCGAAGCUCUUUUGACGUCAGCAACUGAGUGGCGCGCGCCGAAUUGGACCGUAAGCUCGCGCUUGUAUUAAGGGGGCUAGGUCUGCUUCCGGCCGCGUACGCAACGUGCAGGUGUGCAUAGGGCGAUGGGCCCAGACCCCUGCGCGCAUAGGUUUAGACCGGCGUGCUGACCUCUCUGUUGAGCCUAGGUGGGGCUGCGACGUGUUGAUCUUACGAGGCCGGGCACGACCCAGAAAAGUGUGUCCGGCCAAAUGGGAUCGAGCGUGUUGGGUUAUGUGGUGCACCCCUGCAAGGAAGUUUAUCUAUUCGAAUAGCCGUGUCCCUCGGUAAAAGGACGACCCGGAGUUGUACCUUGACCUUAUGACAACUAGAACUGGAUACUGAAUAAAAUACACCCUUCCAAGUGCCAGAUACAACCCGGUGAUCGCUCUCUAACAGGGCGACGAGGAGGGGAUCGCCGGGUAGGAUUAUGCUAUGCGAUGCUACUUGGAGGACUUCAAUCUACUCUCUUCUAUAUGCUGCAAGAUGGAGAUGGCCAGAAGCGUAGUUUUCGACAGGACUAGCUAUCCCCCUUCUUAUUCUGGCAUUCUGCAGUUCAGUCCACUGAUAUGCCCCUUUACACAUAUACCCAUGCAUAUGUAGUAUAGCUCCUUGCUUGCGAGUACUUUGGAUGAGUACUCACGGUUGCUUCUCUCCCUCUUUUCCCCCUUUCCCUUCUAUCUGGUUGUCGCAACCAGAUGUUGGAGUCCAGGAGCCAGACGCCACCGUCGACGGCGACACCUACGACACUGGAGGUGCCUACUACUACGUGCAGGCCGCUGACGACGACCAGGAGUAGUUAGGAGGUCCCAGGCAGGAGGCCUUGCCUUUUCGAUCGUUGCUACUUUUGUGCUAGCCUUCUUAAGGCAAACUUGUUUAACUUAUGUCUGUACUCAGAUAUUGUUGCUUUCGCUGACUCGUCUGUGAUCGAGCACUUGUAUUCGAGCCCUCGAGGCCCCUGGCUUGUAAUAUGAUGCUUGUAUGACUUAUUUUUGUUGUAGAGUUGUGUUGUGAUAUCUUCCCGUGAGUCCCUGACCUUGAUCGUACACAUUUGCAUGCAUGAUUAGUGUACGGUCAAAUCGGGGGCGUCACAAGUUGGUAUCAGAGCCAACUGCCUGUAGGAAUCCCCCUUUCCACACUCCUUGGCCGAAGUCGAGUCUAGUCAUUGAAAAACUUUUAAUAACAUGACUGUGUGGCUUACGGGCCCACGUCGCCAUUGGGUGGUAUUAGGAUCUUUUACUCCUUGCCUAUACUCUGGGACUCUGAUCUCUCUUCCAUUCGGGUUAAAUGAUUUUACUAAAUCUAACAUUAGGAUCUCGUUAACACUUUCACCCGGAGAGCCCCUUAUUACUGAUGAUCGUCUGUUGCACGUGAAGACCAUGAAGAUACUCUACGCUGAUAACCCGAGAACUUGUGUUCAUCGCUUUUUGCAAUUCCCUUUCAUCGAUAAACUCCUAUGGAUAACCACGUAUACUCGCCAUUCAUACAAUGUUUCCCAGAUGAUCUUGUUAUUACAAGAUACCCCGAAAUUCUCUCUGUUGUUCCGAGAAUCCUUUGAGCUUACUACCUUGCUGUCCUUUGUCACCUGAAUACCCCUACGGAUAAUCCUCGCACUUACCGAGUAUCCGCUCAUCCCCAGUUGAUUCAAGUAUUUCACAAAAGUGUUCAAAAUAUCAUUCGAUCUUCCGAAAAUCUUCAGGAGCCUGUUGCUCUUGAAAUUCUUGCUUACUAGCAUUAUGAUUAAUCCCAUAAACCUCGAAAUCUUAUUGGCACCCUUUGUCAUUAUAUUUUUGAGUCCAUUGAUUCAAUAUGUUGCGAAUGCUCGCAAUCCUCAAUCAGAUCCUAGAAUUCAUCCUUCCGGCUCAGACAUCUUUAACAUGAGCUGGAUCUCGACCAAUCAAAUCGUCAUCGAUUGUACCCCUAAGGCUAUUCAACAUAUCCAUCCCUAAUCAGAGCAUUGCUUCUGAUCCCUUGUCUUGGAAUUCAUAAUUCCUUUGCAUUUGAGCUUUUGAGUUAGUCAGUUGUUUCUAUAGUCUGAUCUCCUUGCAUUCUUUCUUCCUCUGGUUGAGUACUGAUGCUCACAUCAGAUCCCUUGGGGACCACCAGCCCCUUUUGUCGGAUUUUAUCCGACAAUGUCCUCCAUAUUAAAUAAGCUGGUGAGCUUUUCCUCGGAUACAUGAUGCCUUUGGUAAAUUGUAUCCUCUGCCUUGUGAACCAUACUCUACUUUCGAGCUUGUAUUAUUUACUCCGAAGUUCGUGGUAUAUGUUCUAAGAAGCCCUGAUGGGUUGAACCUAUGCCUUCCUUAAUAUGUGUGAACUCGAAAGUUUUCACGAGUCAUACUCUCCUGGUAUUUUGCCAUAUAAAAUUUCAACACUACAACUUCAUCGAACGCGAGGAGAAAAUGAAAGGAUAUGCAUUGGAGAAGUGGGAGUCGACCUUGAACUUUGUGUUCAUGCCCAUGGACACAAUGUAGAUCUUAUCAUUAAAAGAUUCUCUUAAAUUAAUUAUUCCCUUGGUAUAAGUUCAUCUUAUAUCUGGGAUCUGGCCUUUUGCAAUCAUGGUUUCGACCAUGUUCUCCUUUAAAUACCAUUUCUUGGACAAGUUAAAUCACUUGUCUUCUGCAGGUCAAUACGCUUGCCCAACCUCUAUUAUGGUCUACCUUUGAGUAUUACCCCUGGUAUCUCGGGGAUAUCUUACCAUUGCACUACAUCUUAUAAACUUUGAUGAAGUACUACCUUACCUUGUCUUUGUCACUUCAUGGGCUCUGGGUUGUUUGUCAACCGAGAACACCGAAUAGUGAAUCAAGUCCGCACUCCGAUUCAAUAACUCUAGGUAAUUUUCGUUGCUUACGAGUUUAAUAAUCAUUAAGUCAUUCCUAGCCUGAUCGGCUAUAUCAUUAGCGUGCUAAAUUUUAACUGUGCUACCUGGUCCUUAACCCCGGAGCACAACUUUCGAUGAUGAGCUAAGCUUACGCCGAUCUUCCUCUCAUACCAUUUCACCUUGAACAACAAGCUUGAUUUCAAGCGUGUGUCCUACCCAUGGUUCCAAUAACCGUCUGCUUCAUCAUUCCUUUGACUUGAUGUCGUCGCUGAUUGAUUACAUCUUCAUGAAAUCUCUCGACAAAUGUGUCGUGAUCAUCAUCAACCUUAUGNNNNNNNNNNNNNNNNNNNNNNNNNNNNNNNNNNNNNNNNNNNNNNNNNNNNNNNNNNNNNNNNNNNNNNNNNNNNNNNNNNNNNNNNNNNNNNNNNNNNNNNNNNNNNNNNNNNNNNNNNNNNNNNNNNNNNNNNNNNNNNNNNNNNNNNNNNNNNNNNNNNNNNNNNNNNNNNNNNNNNNNNNNNNNNNNNNNNNNNNNNNNNNNNNNNNNNNNNNNNNNNNNNNNNNNNNNNNNNNNNNNNNNNNNNNNNNNNNNNNNNNNNGCUCUUCCAGGAUAUCGAUUGAGUUCAUGAUGAGAAAUACCAUCCUUGCCCUCGAUGAUCUGUGUUAUCAUCGACCACUUUAUUGCCUUCCCUCCAACACAAGCUUGUUCGUGUUUGGUGUUAUACCUUGAGUUCCUUGCUAUCCAGCAAUUGUUCUUCUUUACCUUGGAGUAUUACCAUCUUUUAUGUCAAGUAUGUCGUAAGAAUUUCACCACCUCGCAUGACAUCUUGGUACAGUGAUACUUCUCCCCAUCACCAUUCCUUCUUGGUCCCCGUGUUGUUUCUAAAAGGAAUACCAACAAAUGGUCUGUGGUGUGUAAAUUNNNNNNNNNNNNNNNNNNNNNNNNNNNNNNNNNNNNNNNNNNNNNNNNNNNNNNNNNNNNNNNNNNNNNNNNNNNNNNNNNNNNNNNNNNNNNNNNNNNNNNNNNNNNNNNNNNNNNNNNNNNNNNNNNNNNNNNNNNNNNNNNNNNNNNNNNNNNNNNNNNNNNNNNNNNNNNNNNNNNNNNNNNNNNNNNNNNNNNNNNNNNNNNNNNNNNNNNNNNNNNNNNNNNNNNNNNNNNNNNNNNNNNNNNNNNNNNNNNNNNNNNNNNNNNNNNNNNGUCUAUGGCUUAAUGAAUCAUCAUUCGAACAUUGAUUGUGCUACCUAGCCCAUAUUUCGGGUGCACAUUUCAACCAAUGUUUAACUGUGUAUGUUUUCCUCGAGCAUACAUCAUUAAGUCAUUCGAUCUAGCUAAUGUUAUCUCCUUGUUCACAUAGUGGUGGAAAUCCAUCUUUUGGAAAUCUCAAUGGAUUGUCGCUGAGUCAAGCAGUCACCUCCUCACCUCUCCUUGAUUUAAUUAUGAACCCUUGUUCGGAACUCGCUUCCAUAGUUCGUCUCCCGAGAAUCUUCGAUGUCGUUUCGACAAUUUGAGUUGCACCUUUUCUUCUCAGGGAUCCUGAGUCUGAGUUAUCCUGACAUCAAUCAGAUCUGAAUCUCGGUCAGAUAUGAUGGUUGGAACAUAUUUCCAAGAGUUAUAACAUUGGCCUAUUUAUGACCUGGUAAGGUGAUGUCUUGCCUAACACACCUGGCGGGAGGACCUAUUGUUAUAAGUUUUACUUUUUAGCAAGGUUAGCUAUUCUUCCAUGAGGAAAUUGUAAGACUUACUCUAUAAGUUGUUCCUGAUGGAUCCUUUUUGUUUCCAAAGUCUGAUCUUCACCUGUUGACCAUGUCAAUGCUAUCUCGAAGCAUGCCUAUGGUACUCUGAUUUUAAACAGGAACAUUUGAAGCCCAAAGCUAAUUGUUUCCUGCUCAAUUAUCCACACACCGUUGUAUGGGUAAUGUCAUGAAAUUUCUCUCCCGUACCUAAAGAGUUUUCUACAUUAUAUCACGUCAUGGAUAUCGUGCUCUGCUUGUCCUUGGGAAGGAUAUACCCUUGAAAUAUGUGUUUAAACACAUUUUCCUUUCCAUUCUUCUGUUUAAUCUAAUAAUCAUAUUUUCCUUUCCAUUGUUUGGUUUAACCUUUCUGGUGAUCUAUAUGAUCUAAGCAGUAAUAUUCUCCUGCUCAUGUAAACACCUCGGAGUACAACUCUGUCAGUAAGACCCUGUUACUAUUGUUGGUGACAUUUCGGUAACCACUGAUGGACGAGAACUUUGCCUAAUGGUCCGCCUCGUUUGAACGAGCAGGAAAAUGGUUCUCUUCGUCCCUCGCCCUUGGAACCAACGUGUUGCCGACAUAACUGACAGGGUGUUCCCUGACAUGCCUUGCUAUCAUGACUAUGCGAGAUGUCACCGCUCCUAUUUUUAACCCACAUGGUGGGCCCAUAACCCACAGUUCCACAGGAUCGAAACCUGACUCUCUUGUACACCCCUUGUUCCCAAGGUUAUUCCUCACGCUUGGCUUCGUAUGUAAUUCACGUGCCACCUUUCGUGAGAUCAUCAAUUUUGGUAUCAGACACAAUACUUAUUCCCGUUGCUCAGAACCCUUCAGGCAUCAAACGAGUGCCUACCCGCUCGAAACUUCCCCACGAUACCUCCUUACUUUGCUCUCGAUAUUGUCUUAAAUUUCCAUUCGAGAGUUACUUUCCGCCACCUUUCCCGAUGUUAUCAACCAGAUAGUCAACCGUUCAGAGGCCUGUUAUUCCGAAGUUACCCCUUGUCCUUCGUAAGUACGAUGGAGUUCCCGAAGGAAGGAUGCCAGCUUCAUCAUGAUGACCUGAAGCAGGAAAAUGAAGACAUCAACGUAAUGGAUCAACCGCUUUGAGAAUAGCAACCAAGACCGAGAAGACUCGUUAGAAUUUCGCGACCAAAUCCCUUCCCCCUUACUUCCCCUCUUAAAUCUCGGGACGAGAUUUCUUGUAGUGGAGGAGAUUUGUAACACCCUGAGGAUCAUGCUACAGUAACUCUCUGUGAUUAAGCUAAUCAUGUUGCUAAACAGGGCAUGAUCACAUUUGGAAUCGCAUUUCUUUUCAAACUCCUAAUUCAAACUUCAAUUAAAAUUAAAGUGGAAAAUAAAAGUUUUCAAAAAUUUAAACAAAAAUGUUCGGUGGGUGCCAAAUAAUACACUGGUAAUUAUGGUGGAGAAAACACAUUUUUUAAAAUACCUAAAUACUUUUAAAUGAAAUAAAACAGAAAAGAAAAUAAACAAAUAAAAAGAAAAUGCAAAAGAACACAGACAAAGAAAAGAAAAAAAAGGAGAAGGCCCCCCCCACAAAACCCCUGGCCCAACUGGGCCGACCCCCGGCCCAGCCCACCUCUCCCACUCGCCCCCCUUCCCUGUUCCCCCGACCGGGGUCGGAACAGGGGAAGUCCCCGCCGCACCCCCUCGCCGGCGACGGGGAGGAUAAGGUCGCCAGCUCCCCCCGNNNNNNNNNNNNNNNNNNNNNNNNNNNNNNNNNNNNNNNNNNNNNNNNNNNNNNNNNNNNNNNNNNNNNNNNNNNNNNNNNNNNNNNNNNNNNNNNNNNNNNNNNNNNNNNNNNNNNNNNNNNNNNNNNNNNNNNNNNNNNNNNNNNNNNNNNNNNNNNNNNNNNNNNNNNNNNNNNNNNNNNNNNNNNNNNNNNNNNNNNNNNNNNNNNNNNNNNNNNNNNNNNNNNNNNNNNNNNNNNNNNNNNNNNNNNNNNNNNNNNNNNNNNNNNNNNNNNNNNNNNNNNNNNNNNNNNNNNNNNNNNNNNNNNNNNNNNNNNNNNNNNNNNNNNNNNNNNNNNNNNNNNNNNNNNNNNNNNNNNNNNNNNNNNNNNNNNNNNNNNNNNNNNNNNNNNNNNNNNNNNNNNNNNNNNNNNNNNNNNNNNNNNNNNNNNNNNNNNNNNNNNNNNNNNNNNNNNNNNNNNNNNNNNNNNNNNNNNNNNNNNNNNNNNNNUCUCCUCUCGGCCCCUGCGCCUCUCUCUUUCCCCCCCCAGAUCCGCGCCGCUCUCUCCUUCCCCACGCCCGACGUGGUCACCGCUGUUCCCGUCGUUCACACGGCCACCGUGCCCACCUCGCCGCCCCACGUUGUCUCCAAGGACCGCCGUCGCCCGCUGCUUCGUCUGGUGCAGCCCGUUGGAGACCGGAGCCCCUACAACAAGCACACCGAGCUCGUCUUCGACUUCGGACGCCGGCGACCCCCCUUCUUCCCCGGCGCCGACCUGCUGCUCCUAAGCCCCUCACCGGCCUCCGUCUGCCGCGCGGUGAGCCUCUCCCCCUCCUCCCCUGUCCUCUCUCUCUCUCGCGCGCCCCCUAGCGGCGUCCCCACGCGCGCCCGAACGCCGCGCCGCGGAGCUCGUCGCCGGCGGGUCUCCGGUGACCAUUUGGUCAUGGGCGUAGGCCCGUUAGCUUGACCGCAUCGUGCCGCACCCGCCUAGCUAGUUAGUUCGGCCGCUCGCGCGCUCUAACGCCGCACCCGCCCCAGCACGAAGCACUUCGCCGCCGGCGAGCUCGUAGCGCUCGCCCCCGCCCGUUCCAGCCGCUCCGGCCACCACCGUUGGACGCGCGGCGCCGAGCCGCGUCGAACGCGCCCAGCCACGACCCCGCANNNNNNNNNNGUUUGGCUCGUCGGAGUUGCUCCGGCGCCGGCCGCCGACGUGGCUGGCCUGGGGCCCCCCCAGUGCCACUGCCAGUGGGCCCCGUGGGCCCCGUUGACUGGGUCCACCCAGUCAACGUGCUGACUGGGCAGGCCCAGCCACUGACAUGCGGGCCCCGCCGCAAAAAUUAAAAACAAAAACAAAAAGAAAAAUGUUUUAUAAAUAAAAAUAAUUAGAUUAACUAAUCACUCACUGACAUAUGGGGCCCACCCCUCUAAUUAGACUGUUAGUUUAGUUUAAAUUAAUAUUAGACUAACAGAGGCUGACAUGUGGGUCCCACUGGACCCACCUAUCUGGUUUGACUGGUCAGCCGACCUGUUGACCUGCUGACGUCAGCAUUGCCUCAUGCUGACGUCAUAAUUCAUUUUUGCUUAAUUCAAAUAAUUCCAGAAAUUCAAAUAAACUUUGAAAAUUCAUAUCUUUUAAACCGUAACUCGGAUGAAAAUGUUUUCUAUAUGAAAGUUGCUCAGAACGACGAGACGAAUCCGAAUACGCAGUCCGUUCGUCCACCACACCUCCCUAACCUAUCGAACUAGCAACUUUCCCCCUCCGGUCCGUCUGUCCGAAAACGCGAAACAUCGGGAAUACCUCCCGGUUGUUUCCCCCCUUCACCGGUACCAUCUACUGUCGCGUUAGGUCACACCUAGCACCGCUCAUUGUCAUGUCACGCAUCGUCAUGCUUAUGUUUGCAUUGUAUUUACUGUUUCUUCCCCCUCUUCUCUCCGGUAGACUACGAGACCGACACUGCUGCUGCCCAGUUCAACUACGGAGUCGACGACCCCUCCUACUUGCCAGAGCAACCAGGCAAGCCCCCCCUUGAUCACCAGAUAUCGCCUAUGCUUCUCUAUACUGCUUGCAUUAGAGUAGUGUAGCAUGUUACUGCUUUUUGGUAUCCUAUCCUGAUGCAUAGCCUAUCCUUGCUACUACUGUUGAUACCUGUACCUGCAAUCCUACAUGCUUAGUAUAGGAUGCUAGUUUUCCAUCAGUGGCCCUACAUUCUUGUCCGUCUGCUGUGCUAUACUAUCGGGCCGUGAUCACCUGGGCGGUGAUCACGGGUAUAUACUUAUAUACUAUAUACAUGACACAUGAGAUGACUAAAGUCGGGUCGGCUCGUAGGAGUACCCGUGAGUGGAUCUUUGUGGCGGAGCGACAGGGCAGGUUGAGACCGCCUAGGUGAGAGGUGGGCCUGGCCCUGGUCGGCGUUCGCGGUUACUUAACACGCUUAACGAGAUCUUGGUAUUUGAUCUGAGUCUGGCCAUUUGGUCUAUACGCACUAACCAUCUACGUGGGAGUAGUUAUGGGUAUCCCGACGUCGUGGUAUCAGCCGAAGCUCUUUUGACGUCAGCAACUGAGUGGCGCGCGCCGCAUUGGACCGUAAGCUCGCGCUUGUAUUAAGGGGGCUAGGUCUGCUUCCGGCCACGUACGCAACGUGCAGGUGUGCAUAGGGCGAUGGGCCCAGACCCCUGCGCGCAUAGGUUUAGACCGGCGUGUUGACCUCUCUGUUGAGCCUAGGUGGGGCUGCGACGUGUUGAUCUUAGGAGGCCGGGCAUGACCCAGAAAAGUUUGUCCGGCCAAAUGGGAUCGAGCGUGUUGGGUUAUGUGGUGCACCCCUGCAGGGAAGUUUAUCUAUUCGAAUAGCCGUGUCCCUCGGUAAAAGGAUGACCCGGAGUUGUACCUUGACCUUAUGACAACUAGAACUGGAUACUGAAUAAAAUACACCCUUCCAAGUGCCAGAUACAACCCGGUGAUCGCUCUCUAACAGGGCGACGAGGAGGGGAUCGCCGGGUAGGAUUAUGCUAUGCGAUGCUACUUGGAGGACUUCAAUCUACUCUCUUCUAUAUGCUGCAAGAUGGAGAUGGCCAGAAGCGUAGUUUUCGACAGGACUAGCUAUCCCCCUUCUUAUUCUGGCAUUCUGCAGUUCAGUCCACUGAUAUGCCCCUUUACACAUAUACCCAUGCAUAUGUAGUAUAGCUCCUUGCUUGCGAGUACUUUGGAUGAGUACUCACGGUUGCUUCUCUCCCUCUUUUCCCCCUUUCCCUUCUAUCUGGUUGUCGCAACCAGAUGUUGGAGUCCAGGAGCCAGACGCCACCGUCGACGGCGACACCUACGACACUGGAGGUGCCUACUACUACGUGCAGGCCGCUGACGACGACCAGGAGUAGUUAGGAGGUCCCAGGCAGGAGGCCUUGCCUUUUCGAUCGGUGCUACUUUUGUGCUAGCCUUCUUAAGGCAAACUUGUUUAACUUAUGUCUGUACUCAGAUAUUGUUGCUUCCGCUGACUCGUCUAUGAUCGAGCACUUGUAUUCGAGCCCUCGAGGCCCCUGGCUUGUAAUAUGAUGCUUGUAUGACUUAUUUUUGUUGUAGAGUUGUGUUGUGAUAUCUUCCCGUGAGUCCCUGACCUUGAUCGUACACAUUUGCGUGCAUGAUUAGUGUACGGUCAAAUCGGGGGCGUCACAUCCGUGUUCAGCACACGUUCAGCACGAUGACGUCCCUCGAGCUCUUGAUCCAGUUGAGGACGAAGGAGAGUUCCGUCAGCACGACGGCGUGGUGACGGUGAUGAUGAAGUUACCGGCGCAGGGCUUCGCCUAAGCACUACGGCUAAGAGAUUGUCUGUUGUGCUUUGGGAUGCCCCCUUGCCCACGUAUAUAAAGAAGGGGGGAGGAGGAGGCCGGCCAAGGAGGAGGCGCGCCAAGGGGGGAGGCCUACUAGGACUCCAAACCUAGUAGGAUUCGCCCCCCAACUUUCCUUCCAACGGAGAGGAGGAAAGGGGAAAGGAGGGAGAGGGAGAAGGAAAGAGGGGGGCCGCGCCCCUUCCCCUUGUCCAAUUCGGAUUGGGGCAAGGGUGGCGCGCCCCACCUCCUGUGGCCUGCCUCCUCUCCUCUACUAUGGCCCAUUAGGCCCAAUAACUUUCCCGGGGGGUUCCGAUAGCCUCCCGGUACUCCGAUAAAUCUCCGAACCUUAUCGAAACCAUUCCGAUGUCCGUAUAUAACCUUCCAAUAUAUCAAUCUUUACCUCUCGACCAUUUCGAGACUCCUCGUCAUGUCCGUGAUAUCAUCCGGGACUCCGAACAAACUUCGAUCAUCAAAUCACAUAACUCAUAAUACAAAUCUUCAUCGAACGUUAAGCGUGCGGACCCUACGGGUUCGAGAACUAUGUACACAUGACCGAGACACAUCUCCGGUCAAUAACCAAUAGCGGAACCUGGAUGCUCAUAUCGGCUCCUACAUAUUCUACGAAGAUCUUUAUCGGUCAAACCGCAUAACAACAUACGUCAUUCCCUUUGUCAUCGGUAUGUUACUUGCCCGAGAUUCGAUCGUCAGCAUCAUCAUACCUAGUUCAAUCUCGUUACCGGCAAGUCUCUUGCUCGUUCUGUAAUGCAUCAUCCUGCAACUAACUCAUUAGUCACAUUGCUUGCAAGGCUUAUAGUGAUGUGCAUUACCGAGAGGGCCCAGAGAUACCUCUCCGACACACAGAGUGACAAAUCCUAAUCUCGAUCUAUGCCAACUCAACAAACACCAUCGGAGACACCUGUAGAGCAUCUUUAUAAUCACCCAGUUACGUUGUGACGUUUGAUAGCACACAAAGUGUUCCUCCGGUAUACGGGAGUUGCAUAAUCUCAUAGUCAGAGGAAAUGUAUAAGUCAUGAAUAAAGCAAUAUCAAUAAAACUUAACGAUCAUUAUGCUAAGCUAAUAGAUGGGUCUUGUCCAUCACAUCAUUCUCUAAUGAUGUGAUCCCGUUCAUCAAAUGACAACACAUGUCUAUGGUUAGGAAACUUAACCAUCUUUGAUUAACGAGCUAGUCAAGUAGAGGCAUACUAGGGACACUCUGUUUUGUCUAUGUAUUCACACAUGUACUAAGUUUCCAGUACAAUUCUAGCAUGAAUAAUAAAAAUUUAUCAUGAUAUAAGGAAAUAUAAAUAACAACUUUAUUAUUGCCUCUAGGGCAUAUUUCCUUCAGUCUCCCACUUGCACUAGAGUCAAUAAUCUAGUUCACAUCGUCAUGUGGUUUAACACCAAUAGUUCACAUCGCCAUGUGACUAACACCAAAGGGUUUACUAGAGUCAAUAAUCUAGUUCACAUCGCUAUGUGAUUAACACCCAAAGAGUACUAAGGUGUGAUCAUGUUUUGCUUGUGAGAGAAUUUUUGUCAACGGGUUUGUCACAUUCAGAGCCGUAUGUAUUUUGCAAAUUUCUAUGUUUACAAUGCUCUGCAUGGAGCUACUCUAGCUAAUUGCUCCCACUUUCAAUAUGUAUCCAGAUUGAGACUCAGAGUCAUCCGGAUCGGUGUAAAAGCUUGCAUCGACGUAACUCUUUACGACGAACUCUUUAUUACCUCCAUAACCGAGAAAUAUUUCCUUAGUCCUCUUAGGUAACUAAGGAUAACUUUGACCGCUGUCGAGUAAUCCACUCCUGGAUCACUAUCGUACCCUAAUACGUCUCCAACGUAUCUAUAAUUUUUGAUUGUUCCAUGCUAUUAUAUUAUCUGUUUUGGAUGUUUAAUGGGCUUUAAUAUGCUCUUUUAUAUUAUUUUUGGGACUAACCUAUUAACUGGAGGCCCAGUGCCAGUUUCUGUUUUUUUGGCCUAUUUUAGAGUUUUGCAGAAAAGGAAUACCAAACGGAGUCCAAAUGGAAUGAAACCUUCGCGAUGAUCUUUCUUGGACCAAAAGCAAUCCAGAAGACCUGGAGUUGAAGUCUGUAACUCCACGAGGCGGCCACGAGGUAGGAGGGCGCGCCCAGGGGGGUAGGCGCACCCCCACCCUUGUGGGCCCCUCGUAGCUCCACCGACGUACUUCUUUCACCUAUAUAUACUCUUAUACCCUAGAAACAUCGCAGAGAGCCACGAAACCACUUUUCCACCGCCGCAACCUUCUGUACCCGUGAGAUCCCAUCUUGGGGCCUUUUCCGGUGAUCUGCCGGAGGGGGAAUCAAUCACGGAGGGCUUCUACAUCAACACCAUUGCCUCUCCGAUGAAGCGUGAGUAGUUUACCACAGACCUUCGGGUCCAUAGUUAUUAGCUAGAUGGCUUCUUCUCUCUCUUAGUUUCUCAAUACAAAGUUCUCCUCGAUGUCCUUGGAGAUCUAUUUGAUGUAAUACUCUUUUGCGGUGUGUUUGCCGAGAUCCGAUGAAUUGUGGAUUUAUGAACAAGAUUAUAUAUGAAUAUUAUUUGGUUCUUCUCUGAAUUGUUAUAUGCAUGAUUUGAUAUCUUUGCAAGUCUCUUCGAAUUAUCGGUUUAGUUUGGCCUACUAGAUUGAUCUUUCUUGUAAUGGGAGAAGUGCUUAGCUUUGGGUUCAAUCUUGCUGUGUCCUUUCCCAUUGACAUUAGGGGCAGCAAGGCACGUAUUGUAUUGUUGCCAUCGAGGAUAAAAAGAUGGGGUUUAUAUCAUAUUGCUUGAGUUUAUCCCUCUACAUCAUGUCAUCUUGCUUAAUGCAUUACUCUGUUCUUAUGAACUUAAUACUCUAGAUGCAUGCUGGAUAGCGGUCGAUGUGUGGAGUAAUAGUAGUAGAUGCAGAAUCGUUUCGGUCUACUUGACACGGAUGUGAUGCCUAUAUUCAUGAUCAUUGCCUUAGAUAUCUUCAUAAUUAUGCGCUUUUCUAUCAAUUGGUUGGCAGUAAUUUGUUCACCCACCGUAAUACAUGCUAUCUUGAGAGAAGCCACUGUUGGAAAUAUGCCCUAGAGGCAAUAAUAAAUGGUUAUUAUUAUAUUUCUUUGUUCAUGGUAAUUGUCUAUUGUUCAUGCUAUAAUUGUAUUGUCCGGAAAUCAUAAUACAUGUGUGAAUACAUAUACCACAACGUGUCCCUAGUAAGCCUCUAGUUGACUAGCUCGUUGAUCAACAGAUAGUCAUGGUUUCCUGACUAUGGACAUUGGAUGUCAUUGAUAACGGGAUCACAUCAUUAGGAGAAUGAUUUGAUGGACAAGACCCAAUCCUAAGCAUAGCAUAAAAGAUCGUGUAGUUUCGUUUGCUAGAGCUUUUCCAAUGUCAAGUAUCUUUUCCUUAGACCAUGAGAUCGUGCAACUCCCGGAUACCGUAGGAGUGCUUUGGGUGUGCCAAACAUCACAACGUAACUGGGUGACUAUAAAGGUGCACUACGGGUAUCUCCGAAAGUGUCUGUUGGGUUGGCAUGGAUCGAGACUGGGAUUUGUCACUCCGUGUGACGGAGAGGUAUCUCUGGGCCCACUCGGUAAUGCAUCAUCAUAAUGAGCUCUAUGUGACUAAGGCGUUAGUCACGGGAUCAUGCAUUGCGGUACGAGUAAAGAGACUUGCCGGUAACGAGAUUGAACAAGGUAUUGGGAUACCGACGAUCGAAUCUCGGGCAAGUAACAUACCGAUUGACAAAGGGAAUUGCAUACGGGAUUGAUUGAAUCCUCGACAUCGUGGUUCAUCCGAUGAGAUCGUUGUGGAACAUGUGGGAGCCAACAUGGGUAUCCAGAUCCCGCUGUUGGUUAUUGACCGGAGAGGCGUCUCGGUCAUGUCUGCAUGUCUCCCGAACCCGUAGGCGUCUCGGUGACGCUAGGGUUGUAAAGAUAUGUGUAUGCGGAAACCCGAAAGUUGUUCGGAGUCCCAGAUGAGAUCCCGAACGUCACGAGGAGUUCCGGAAUGGUCCGGAGGUGAAGAAUUAUAUAUAGGAAGACAAGUUUCGGCCACCGGGAAAGUUUCGGGGGUUACCGGUAUUGUACCGGGACCACCGGAAGGGUCCCGGGGGUCCACCGGGUGGGGCCACCUAUCCCGGAGGGCCCCUGGGCUGAAGUGGGAAGGGAACCAGCCCCUAGUGGGCUGGGCGCCCCCCCAUGGGCCUCCCCCCUCCGCCUAGGGUUGGAAACCCUAGGGUGGGGGGGCGCCCCACUUGCCUUGGGGGGCAAGUAUUCCCCCUGGCCGCCGCCCCCCCAUCCAGAUGGGAUCCUGGCCGGCGCCCCCCCUCCCAGGGGGCCUAUAUAAAGUGGGGAGGGAGGGCAGCAACAUUACAGCCUUGGGCGCCUCCCUCCUCCCCUGCUACACCUCUCUCUCUCACAGAAGCUCGGCGAAGCCCUGCUGACAUCUCGCUACAUCCACCACCACGCCGUCGUGCUGCUGGAUCUCCAUCAACCUCUCCUUCCCCCUUGCUGGAUCAAGAAGGAGGAGAUGUCACUGCACCGUACGUGUGUUGAACGCGGAGGUGCCGUCCGUUCGGCACUCGGUUAUCGGUGAUUUGAAUCACGGCGAGUACGACUCCGUCAUCCACGUUCAUUGGAACGCUUCCGCUCGCGAUCUACAAGGGUAUGUAGAUGCUCUCCUUUCCCCUCAUUGCUAGUAUACUCCAUAGAUGCAUCUUGGUGAGCGUAGGAAAAUUUUAAAAUUAUGCUACGAUACCCAACAGUGGCAUCAUGAGCCAGGCCUAUGCGUAGUUACUAUGCAUGAGUAGAACACAAAGCAGUUGUGGGCGUUGAUGUUGCCAAUUCUUCUUGCCGCUACUAGUCGUAUCUUUUUUCGGCGGUAUUGUAGGAUGAAGCGGCCCGGACCGACCUUACACGUACGCUUACGUGAGACAGGUUCCACCGACUGACAUGCACUAGUUGCAUAAGGUGGCUAGCGGGUGUCUGUCUCUCCUACUUUAGUCGGAACGGAUUCGAUGAAAAGGGUCCUUAUGAAGGGUAAAUAGAAAUUGGCAAAUCACGUUGUGGUCAUACGUAGGUAAGAAACGUUCUUGCUAGAAACCUACAAGCCACGUAAAAAACUUGCAACUACAAUUAGAGGACGUCUAACUUGUUUUUGCAGCAUGUGUUAUGUGAUGUGAUAUGGCCAGAAGAUGUGAUGAAUGAUAUAUGUGAUGUAUGAGAUUGAUCAUAUUCUUGUAAUAGGAAUCACGACUUGCAUGUCGAUGAGUAUGACAACCGGCAGGAGCCAUAGGAGUUGUCUUUAUUAUUUUGUAUGACCUGCGUGUCAUUGAAUAACGCCAUGUAAAUUACUUUACUUUGUUGCUAAACGCGUUAGCCAUAGAAGUAGAAGUAAUCAUUGGCGUGAUGACUUCAUGAAGACACAAUGAUGGAGAUCAUGGUGUCAUGCCGGUGACGAAGAUGAUCAUGGUGCCCCGAAGAUGGAGAUCAAAGGAGCAUAAUGAUAUUGGCCAUAUCAUGUCACUAUUUGAUUGCAUGUGAUGUUUAUCAUGUUUUGCAUCUUAUUUGCUUAGAACGAUGGUAGUAAGUAAGAUGUUCCCUUAUGAUAAUUUCAAGAAAAGUGUUCCCCCUAACUGUGCACCGUUGCGAAGGUUCGUUGUUUCGAAGCACCACGUGAUGAUCGGGUGUGAUAGAUUCUAACGUUCGAAUACAACGGGUGUUGACGAGCCUAGCAUGUAUAGACAUGGCCUCGGAACACACGCAAUACACUUAGGUUGACUUGACGAGCCUAGCAUGUACAGACAUGGCCUCGGAACACGGAGGACCGAAAGGUCGAGCAUGAGUCGUAUAGAAGAUACGAUCAACAUGGAGAUGUUCACCGAUCUUGACUAGUCCGUCUCACGUGAUGAUCGGACACGACCUAGUUAACUCGGAUCAUGUUUCACUUAGAUGACUAGAGGGAUGUCUAUCUGAGUGGGAGUUCAUUGAGUAAUUUGAUUAGAUGAACUUAAUUAUCAUGAACUUAGUCUAAUCUUUACACUAUGUCUUGUAGAUCAAAUGGCCCACGUUGUCCUCAAUUUCAACGCGUUCCUAGAGAAAACCAAGCUGAAAGAUGAUGGCAGCAACUAUACGGACUGGGUCCGGAACCUGAGGAUCAUCCUCAUAGCAGCCAAGAAAGAUUAUGUCUUAGAAGCACCGCUAGGUGAAUUACCAAUCCCAGAGAACCAAGACGUUAUGAACGCUUGGCAGCAGCGUGCUGAUGAUUACUCCCUUGUUCAGUGCGGCAUGCUUUACAGCUUAGAACCGGGUCUCCAAAAGCGUUUUGAGAAACAUGGAGCAUAUGAGAUGUUCGAGGAGCUGAAAAUGGUUUUCCAAGCUCAUGCCCGGGUCGAGAGAUAUGAAGUCUCCGACAAGUUCUUCAGCUGUAAAAUGGAGGAGAAUAGUUCUGUUAGUGAGCACAUACUCAGAAUGUCUGGGUUACACAACCGCUUGUCUCAGCUGGGAGUUAAUCUCCCGGAUGAUGCGGUCAUUGACAGAAUCCUUCAGUCGCUUCCACCAAGCUACAAGAGCUUUGUGAUGAACUUCAAUAUGCAGGGGAUGGAAAAGACCAUUCCUGAGGUAUAUUCAAUGCUGAAAUCAGCGGAGGUGGAGAUCAGAAAAGAACAUCAAGUGUUGAUGGUGAAUAAAACCACUAAGUUCAAGAAGGGCAAGGGUAAGAAGAACUUCAAGAAGGACGGCAAGGGAGUUGCCGCGCCCGGUAAGCCAGUUACUGGGAAGAGGUCGAAGAAUGGACCCAAGCCUGAGACUGAGUGCUUUUAUUGCAAGGGAAGUGGUCACUAGAAGCGGAACUGCCCCAAAUACUUAGCGGACAAGAUGGCCGGCAACGCCAAAGGUAUAUGUGAUAUACAUGUAAUUGAUGUGUACCUUACCAGUACUCGUAGUAGAUCUUGGGUAUUUGAUACCGGUGCGGUUGCUCAUAUUUGUAACUCAAAACAGGAACUACGGAAUAAACAGAGACUGGCGAAGGACGAGGUGACGAUGCGCGUCGGGAAUGGUUCCAAGGUUGAUGUGAUCGCUGUCGGCACGCUACCUCUGCAUCUACCUACGAGAUUAGUUUUAAACCUCAAUAAUUGUUAUUUAGUGACGGCUUUGAGCAUGAACAUUGCAUCUGGAUCUCGUUUAAUUCGAGAUGGCUACUCAUUUAAAUCCGAGAAUAAUGGUUGUUCUAUUUAUAUGAGAGAUAUGUUUUAUGGUCAUGCCCCGCUGGUUAAUGGUUUAUUCUUGAUGAAUCUGGAAUGUGAUGUUACACAUAUUCAUAGUGUGAAUACCAAAAGAUGUAAAGUUGAUAACGAUAGUCCCACAUACUUGUGGCACUGCCGCCUUGGUCACAUUGGUGUCAAGCGCAUGAAGAAGCUCCAUGAAGAUGGACUUUUGGAGUCUCUUGAUUACGAAUCAUUUGACACGUGCGAACCAUGCCUCAUGGGUAAGAUGACCAAGACUCCGUUCUCCGGAACAAUGGAGCGAGCAACCAACUUAUUGGAAAUCAUACAUACCGAUGUGUGCGGUCCAAUGAGUGUUGAAGCUCGCGGAGGAUAUCGUUAUGUUCUCACUCUCACUGAUGACUUAAGUAGAUAUGGGUUUGUCUACCUAAUGAAACACAAGUCUGAAACCUUUGAAAAGUUCAAGGAAUUUCGGAGUGAGGUUGAGAAUCAACGUGACAGGAAAAUAAAAUUCUUACAAUCAGAUCGUGGUGGAGAAUAUUUAAGUCACGAAUUUGGUGCGCACUUAAGGAAAUGUGGAAUCGUUUCACAACUCACGCCGCCUGGAACACCUCAGCGAAACGGUGUGUCCGAACGUCGUAAUCGCACUCUAUUGGAUAUGGUGCGAUCUAUGAUGUCUCUUACCGAUUUACCGCUCUCAUUUUGGGGCUAUGCUUUAGAGACUGCCGCAUUCACUUUAAAUAGGGCUCCGUCGAAAUCCGUUGAGACGACACCGUAUGAAUUAUGGUUUGGGAAGAAACCUAAGCUGUCGUUUCUAAAAGUUUGGGGAUGCGAUGCUUAUGUCAAGAAACUUCAACCUGAAAAGCUCGAACCCAAGUCGGAGAAAUGCGUCUUCAUAGGAUACCCUAAGGAAACCAUUGGGUACACCUUCUACCUCAGAUCCGAAGGCAGGAUCUUCGUUGCCAAGAACGAGUCCUUUCUGGAGAAGGAGUUUCUCUCGAAAGAAUUGAGUGGGAGGAAAGUGGAACUUGAUGAGGUGAUAGUCACCCCUUCCGAACCGGAAAGUAGCGCAGCGCGGGAAGAUGUUCCUGUGGUGCCUACACCGACUGGGGAGGAAGUUAAUGAUGAUGAUCAUGAAGCUUCGGAUCAAGUUACUACUGAACUUCAUAGGUCCACAAGGACACGUUCCACACCAGAGUGGUACGGCAACCCUGUCCUGGAAAUCAUGUUGUUAGACAACGGUGAACCUUCGAACUAUGAAGAAGCGAUGGCGGGCCCGGAUUCCGACAAAUGGCUAGAAGCCAUGAAAUCCGAGAUAGGAUCCAUGUAUGAAAACGAAGUAUGGACUUUGACUGACUUGCCCGAUGAUCGGCGAGCCAUAGAAAACAAAUGGAUCUUUAAGAAGAAGACGGACGCGGAUGGUAAUGUGACCAUCUACAAAGCUCGACUUGUCGCUAAGGGUUAUCGACAAGUUCAAUGGGUUGACUACGAUGAGACUUUCUCACCCGUGGCGAAGCUGAAGUCCGUCCGAAUCAUGUUAGCAAUUGCCCAUACUAUGAUUAUGAGAUAUGGCAGAUGGACGUCAAAACGACAUUCCUUAACGGCUUCCUUAAGGAAGAGUUGUAUAUGAUGCAGCCGGAAGGUUUUGUCGAUCCUAAGAAUGCUAACAAAGUAUGCAAGCUCCAGCGCUCAAUCUAUGGGCUGGUGCAAGCAUCUCGGAGUUGGAACAUUCGCUUUGAUGAGAUGAUCAAAGCGUUUGGGUUUACACAGACUUAUGGAGAAGCCUGUGUUUACAAGAAAGUGAGUGGGAGCUCUGUAGCAUUUCUCAUAUUAUAUGUGGAUGACAUAUUAUUGAUGGGAAAUGAUAUAGAAUUCUUGGAAAGUAUAAAGGCCUAUUUGAAUAAGUGUUUUUCAAUGAAGGACCUUGGAGAAGCUGCUUAUAUAUUAGGCAUCAAGAUCUAUAGAGAUAGAUCAAGACGCCUCAUUGGUCUUUCACAGAGUACAUACCUUGACAAGAUAUUGAAGAAGUUCAAUAUGGAUCAGUCCAAGAAGGGGUUCUUGCCUGUAUUGCAAGGUGUGCAAUUGAGCACGGCUCAAUGCCCGACCACGGCAGAAGAUAGAGAAAAGAUGAGUGUCAUCCCCUAUGCCUCGGCCAUAGGGUCUAUUAUGUAUGCCAUGCUGUGUACCAGACCUGAUGUAAACCUUGCCGUAAGUUUGGUAGGAAGGUACCAAAGUAAUCCCGGCAUGGAACACUGGACAGCGGUCAAGAAUAUCCUGAAGUACCUAAAGAGGACUAAGGAUAUGUUUCUCGUUUAUGGAGGUGACGAAGAGCUCGUCGUAAAGGGUUACGUCGACGCUAGCUUCGACACAGAUCUGGAUGACUUGAAGUCACAAACCGGAUACAUGUAUAUUUUGAAUGGAGGAGCAGUAAGCUGGUGCAGUUGCAAGCAAAGCGUCGUGGCGGGAUCUACAUGUGAAGCGGAGUACAUGGCAGCCUCGGAGGCAGCGCAGGAAGCAGUCUGGAUGAAGGAGUUCAUUACCGACCUAGGGGUGAUUCCCAAUGCGUCGGGCCCGAUGACUCUCUUCUGUGACAACACUGGAGCUAUUGCCCUUGCGAAGGAGCCCAGGUUUCACAGGAAGACCAGGCAUAUCAAGCGUCGUUUCAACUCCAUAUGUUAAAGUGUUCAAAAUGGAGACAUAGAUAUUUGUAAAGUACAUACGGACCUGAAUGUAGCAGAUCCGUUGACUAAAUCUUUCCCUAGAGCAAAACAUGAUCAACACGAGGACGCAAUGGGUGUUCGAUUCAUCACAAUGUAGCUAGAUUAUUGACUCUAGUGCAAGUGGGAGACUGUUGGAAAUAUGCCCUAGAGGCAAUAAUAAAUGGUUAUUAUUAUAUUUCUUUGUUCAUGGUAAUUGUCUAUUGUUCAUGCUAUAAUUGUAUUGUCCGGAAAUCGUAAUACAUGUGUGAAUACAUAGACCACAACGUGUCCCUAGUAAGCCUCUAGUUGACUAGCUCGUUGAUCAACAGAUAGUCAUGGUUUCCUGACUAUGGACAUUGGAUGUCAUUGAUAACGGGAUCACAUCAUUAGGAGAAUGAUGUGAUGGACAAGACCCAAUCCUAAGCAUAGCAUAAAAGAUCGUGUAGUUUCGUUUGCUAGAGCUUUUCCAAUGUCAAAUAUCUUUUCCUUAGACCAUGAGAUCGUGCAACUCCCAGAUACCGUAGGAGUGCUUUGGGUGUGCCAAACGUCACAACGUAACUGGGUGACUAUAAAGGUGCACUACGGGUAUCUCCGAAAGUGUCUGUUGGGUUGGCAUGGAUCGAGACUGGGAUUUGUCACUCCGUGUGACGGAGAGGUAUCUCUGGGCCCACUCGGUAAUGCAUCAUCAUAAUGAGCUCUAUGUGACUAAGGCAUUAGUCACGGGAUCAUGCAUUGCGGUACGAGUAAAGAGACUUGCCGGUAACGAGAUUGAACAAGGUAUUGGGAUACCGACGAUCGAAUCUCGGGCAAGUAACAUACCGAUUGACAAAGGGAAUUGCAUACGGGAUUGAUUGAAUCCUCGACAUCGUGGUUCAUCCGAUGAGAUCGUCGUGGAACAUGUGGGAGCCAACAUGGGUAUCCAGAUCCCGCUUUUGGUUAUUGACCGGAGAGGCGUCUCGGUCAUGUCUGCAUGUCUCCCGAACCCGUAGGCGUCUCGGUGACGCUAGGGUUGUAAAGAUAUGUGUAUGCGGAAACCCGAAAGUUGUUCGGAGUCCCAGAUGAGAUCCCGGACGUCACGAGGAGUUCCGGAAUGGUCCGGAGGUGAAGAAUUAUAUAUAGGAAGUCAAGUUUCGGCCAUCGGGAAAGUUUCGGGGGUUACCGGUAUUGUACCGGGACCACCGGAAGGGUCCCGGGGGUCCACCGGGUGGGGCCACCUAUCCCGGAGGGCCUCGUGGGCUGAAGUGGGAAGGGAACCAGCCCCUAGUGGGCUGGGCGCCCCCCAUGGGCCUCCCCCCUCCGCCUAGGGUUGGAAACCCUAGGGUGGGGGGCGCCCCACUUGCCUUGGGGGGCAAGUAUCCCCCCUGGCCGCCGCCCCCCCAUCCAGAUGGGAUCCUGGCCGGCGCCCCCCCUCCCAGGGGGCCUAUAUAAAGGGGUGGAUGGAGGGCAGCAACAUUACAGCCUUGGGCGCCUCCCUCCUCCCCUGCUACACCUCUCUCUCUCGCAGAAGCUCGGCGAAGCCCUGCCGACAUCCUGCUACAUCCACCACCACGCCGUCGUGCUGCUGGAUCUCCAUCAACCUCUCCUCCCCCCUUGCUGGAUCAAGAAGGAGGAGACGUCGCUGCACCGUACGUGUGUUGAACGCGGAGGUGCUGUCCGUUCAGCACUCGGUCAUCGGUGAUUUGAAUCACGGCGAGUACGACUCCGUCAUCCACGUUCAUUGGAACGCUUCCGCUCGCGAUCUACAAGGGUAUGUAGAUGCACUCCUUUCCCCUCGUUGCUAGUAUACUCCAUAGAUGCAUCUUGGUGAGCGUAGGAAAAUUUUAAAAUUAUGCUACGAUACCCAACAGCCACUAGUGAAACCUAUGGCCCCUGGGUCUCUUUCUUAUUAUAUUGCAUCUCUUUUAUUUACAUCGCAUCUCGUUUACUAUUUUGCAAUCUUUACUUUCCAAUCUAUACAACAAAAAUACCAAAAAUAUUUAGUUUACUAUCUUUAUUAGAUCUCACUUUUGCGAGUGACCAUGAAGGGAUUGACAACCCCUUUAUCGCGUUGGUUGCAAGGUUCUUGAUUGUUUGUGCAGGUACUAGGUGACUUGUGCAUUGUCUCCUACUGGAUUGAUACCUUGGUUCUCAAAACUGAGGGAAAUAUUUACGCUACUUUGCUGCAUCACCCUUUCCUCUUCAAGGGAAAACCAACACAUGCUCAAGAGGUAGCAUACCCCUUUGCCAAACUCAUGGCAAGGUACACAAUAGGUCUGGUACACAGCAUAGCAUACUUUAUAGAACCUAUGGCUGAGGCAUAGGGAAUGACUUUCAUUCUCUUUCUAUUUUCUGCCGUGGUAGUGUUUUGAGUCUUACUCAACUUCAUACCUUACAACUCAGGCAAGAACUCCUUCUUUGACUGAUCCAUUUUGAACUCCUUCAAAAUCUUAUCAAAGUAUGUACUCAUCGAAAGUCUUAUCAAGCGUCUUGAUCUAUCUUUAUAGAUCUUGAUGCCCAAUAUGUAAGUAGCUUCACUGAGGUCUUUCUUUGAAAAAUCCUUUCAAACACUCCUUUAUACUUUCCAGAAAAUUCUACAUCAUUUCCGAUCGACAAUAUGUCAUUCACAUAUACUUACCAAAAAUGCUGUAGUGCUCCCACUCACUUUCUUGUAAAUACAAGUUUCACCGCAAGUCUGUAUAAAACUAUAUGCUUUGAUCAACUCAUCAAAGCAUAUAUUCCAACUCCGAGAUGCUUGCACCAGUCCAUAGAUGGAUCGCUGGAGCUUGCAGACUUUGUUAGCACUUUUAGGAUUGAGAAAACCUUCUGUUUGCAUCAUAUACAACUCUUCUUUAAUAAAUCCAUUAAGGAAUGCAGUUUUUGACAUCCAUUUGCCAGAUUUCAUAAAAUGCGGCAAUUGCUACCAUGAUUCGGACAGACUUUAAGCAUAGAUACGAGUGAGAAACUCUCAUCGUAGUCAACACCUUGAACUUAUUGAAAACCUUUUCCGACAAUUCGAGCUUUGUAGAUAGUAACACUACUAUCAGCGUUCGUCUUCCUCUUGAAGAUCCAUUUAUUCUCAAUGGCUUGCCGAUCAUUGGGCAAGUCAAUCAAAGUCCACACUUUGUUCUCAUACAUGGAUCCCAUCUCAGAUUUCAUGGCCUCAAGCCAUUUCGCGGAAUCUGGGCUCAUCAUCGCUUCCUCAUAGUUCGUAGGUUCGUCAUGGUCUAGUAACAUGACUUCCGAAACAGGAUUACCGCACCACUCUGGUGCGGACUGUACUCUGGUUAACCUAAGAGGUUCGGUAGUAACUUGAUCUGAAGUUUCAUGAUCAUCAUCAUUAGCUUCCUCACUAAUUGGUGUAGGAAUCACUGGAACUGAUUUCUGUGAUGAACUACUUUCCAAUUCGGGAGAAGGUACAAUCAAGUUCUACUUUCCUCCCACUCACUUCUUUCGAGAGAAACUCUUUCUCUAGAAAGGAUCCAUUCUUAGCAACGAAUAUCUUGCCUUCGGAUCUGUGAUAGAAGGUGUACCCAACAGUUUCCUUUGGGUAUUCUAUGAAGACACAUUUCUCCGAUUUGGGUUCGAGCUUAUCAGGUUGAAGCUUAUUCACAUAAGCAUCGCAGCCCCAAACUUUAAGAAACGACAGCUUAGGUUUCUUUCCAAACCACAGUUCAUAUGGUGUCGUCUCAACGGAUUAGAUGGUGCCCUAUUUAACGUGAAUGCAGUUGUCUCUAAUGCAUAACCCCAAAACGAUAGUGGUAAAUCGGUAAGAGACAUCAUAUAUCGCACCAUAUCCAAUAAAUACGGUUAUGACGUUGGGACACACCAUUACGCUGUGGUGUUCCAGGUGGCGUGAGUUGUGAAACUUAUUCCACAUUGUUUUAGAUGAAGGCCAAACUCGUAACUCAAAUAUUCUCCUCCAUGAUCAGAUGGUAGAAACUUUAUUUUCUUGUUACGAUGAUUCUCCACUUCACUCUGAAAUUCUUUGAACUUUUCAAAUGUUUCAGACUUGUGUUUCAUUAAGUAGAUAUACCCAUAUCUGCUCAAAUCAUCUGUGAAGGUAAGGAAAUAACGAUACCCGUCGCAAGCCUCAACACUCAUAGGACCGUAUACAUCGGUAUGUAUUAUUUCCAAUAAGUCAUUGGCUCGCUCCAUUUUACGGAAAACAGAGUUUUAGUCAUCUUGCCCAUGAGGCAUGGUUCGCAUGUAUCAAAUGAUUCAUAAUCAAGUGAUUCCAAAAGUCCAUCUGCAUGGAGUUUCUUCAUGCGCUUUACACCAAUAUGACCUAAAUGGUAGUGCACUAAAUAUGUUGCACUAUCAUUAUCAACUUUGCAUAUUUUGGCAUCAAUAUUAUGUGUAUCACUGCAAUCGAGAUUCAGUAAACCAUUUACAUUGGAUGUAAGACCAUAGAAGGUUUUAUUCAUGUAAAUAGAACAACAAUUAUUCUCUGACUUAAAUGAAUAACCGUAUCGCAAUAAACAUGAUCCAAUCAUAUUCAUGCUCAACGCAAACACCAAAUAACAUUUAUUUAGUUCCAAUACUAAUCCCGAAGGUAGAGGGAGUAUGCGAUGGUGAUCUUAUCAACCUUGGAAUCAUUUCCAACACACAUCGUCACCUCGCCCUCAACUAGUCUCUAUUCAUUUUGUAACUCAUGUUUCGAGUUACUAAUCAUAGUAACUGAACCGGUAUCAAAUACCCAGGGGCUACUAUGAACACUAGUAAAGUACACAUCAAUAACAUGUAUAUCAUAUAUACUUUUGUUCACUUUGCCAUCCUUCUUAUCCGCCAAGUAUUUGGGGCAGUUCCGCUUCCAGUGACCAUUUCCUUUGCAGUAGAAGCACUCAGUUUCAGGCUUGGGUCUAGCUUUGGGCUUCUUUAUGGGAGUGGCAACUUGCUUGCCAUUCUUCUUGAAGUUCCCUUUCUUUCCUUUGCCCUUUUACUUGAAACUAAUGGUCUUGUCAACCAUCAACACUUGAUGCUUUUCUUGAUUUCUAUCUUUGUCGGUUUCAGCAUCGCGAAGAGCUUGGGAAUCGUUUUUGUCAUCCCUUGCAUAUUAUAGUUUAUCACAAAGUUCCAGUAACUUGGUGAUAGUGACUAGAGAACUCUAUCAAUCACUAUCUUAUCUGGAAGAUUAACUCCUACUUGAUUCAAGCGAUUGUAGUACUGAGACAUUCUAAGCACAUGCUCACUGGUUGAGCUAUUCUCCUCCAUCUUGUAGGCAAAAUACUUGUCAGAGAUCUCAUACCUCUCGACUCGGGAAUUAGUCUAAAAAUACCAAUUUCAGCUCUUGGAACAUCUUAUAUGCUCCGUGGCAUUCAAAACGUUUUUGAAGUCCCGGUUCUAAGCCGUAAAGCAUGGCGCACUAAACUAUCAAGUAGUCAUCAUACCGAGCUUGCCAAAUGUUCAUAACGUCUGCAUCUGCUCCUGCAAUAGGUCCGUCACCUAGCGGUGCAUCAAGGACAUAAUUCUUCUGUGCAGCAAUGAGGAUAAUCCUCAGAUCACGGACCCAGUCCGCAUCAUUGUACUAUCAUCUUUCAACUUAUAUUUCUCUAGGAACAUAUAAAAAAUAAACGGGGAGCUACAUCGCAAGCUAUUGAUCUAUGACAUAUCAAAUACUAUCAGGACUAAAUUUAUGAUAAAUUAAAGUUCAAUUAAUCAUAUCACUUAAGAACUCCCACUUAGAUAGAUAUCCCUCUAGUCAUCUAAAUGAUCACGUGAUCCAUAUCAACUAAUAAACCAUGUCCGAUCAUCACGUGAGAUGGAGUAGUUUUCAAUGGUGAACAUCUCUAUGUUGAUCAUAUCUACUAUAUGAUUCACGUUCGACCUUUCGGUCUCAGUGUUCCGAGGCCAUAUCUGCAUAUGCUCGGCUCGUCAAGUUUAACCCGAUUAUUCUGCACGUGCAAAACUGGCUUGCACCAGUUGUACGUGAACGUAGAGCUUAUCACACCCGAUCAUCACGUGGUGUCUCGGCACGAUGAACUGUAGCAACGGUGCAUACUCAGGGAGAACACUUAUACCUUGAAAUUUAGUGAGGGAUCAUCUUAUAAUGCUACCGCCGAACUAAGCAAAAUAAGAUGCAUACAGGAUAAACAUCACAUGCAAUCAAAAUAUGUGACAUGAUAUGGCCAUCAUCAUCUUGUGCCUUUGAUCUCCAUCUCCAAAGCACCGUCAUGAUCUCCAUCGUCACCGGCUUGGCACCUUGAUCUCCAUCAUAGCGUCGUUGUCGUCUCGCCAAUUGUUGCUUCCACGACUAUCGCUACCGGUUAGUGAUAAAGUAAAGCAAUUACAUGGCGAUUGCAUUUCAUACAAUAAAGCGACAACCAUAAGGCUCCUGCCAGUUGCCGAUAACUUUUACAAAACAUGAUCAUCUCAUACAACAAUUUAUAUCUCAUCAUGUCUUCACCAUAUCACAUCACAACAUGCCCUGCAAAAACGAGUUAGACGUCCUCUACUUUGUUGUUGCAAGUUUUACGUGAAUGCUACGGGCUUCUACCAAGAACCGUUCUUACCUAUGCAUCAAAACCACAAUGAUUUUUCGUCAAGUGUGCUGUUUUAACGUUCAACAAGGACCGACCGUAGUCAAACUCGAUUCAACUAAAGUUGGAGAAACAGACACCCGCUAGCCACCUGUGUGUGAAGCACGUCGGUAAAACCAGUCUCAUGAACACGGUCACGUAAUGUCGGUCCGGGCCGCUUCAUCCAACAAUACCGCCGAAUCAAAGUAAGACAUUGGUGGUAAGCAGUAUGACUAUUAUCGCCCACAACUCUUUGUGUUCUACUCGUGCAUAUCUACGCAUAGACCUGGCUCGGAUGCCACUUUUGGGGAACGCGGUAUUUUAAAAAAUUUCCUACGAUCACGCAAGAUCUAUCUAGGAGAUGCAUAGCAACGAGACGGGAGAGUGUGUCCACGUACCCUCGUAGACCGAAAGCGGAAGCGUUUAGUAACGCGGUUGAUGUAGUCGAACGUCUUCACGAUCCAACCGAUCCAAGCACCGAACGUACGGCACCUCCGUGUUCAUCACACGUUCAGCACGAUGACGUCCCUCGAGCUCUUGAUCCAGUUGAGGACGAGGGAGAGUUCCGUCAGCAUGACGGCAUGGCGACGGUGAUGAUGAAGUUACCGGUGCACGGCUUCGCCUAAGCACUACGACGAUAUGACCGAGGUGUUAAACUGUGGAGGGAGGCACCGCACACGGCUAAGAGAUUGUCUGUUGUGCUUUGGGGUGCCCCCUUGCCCACUUAUAUAAAGGAGGGGGAAGGAGGCCGACCAAGGAGGAGGCGCGCCAAGGGGGGGGAGUCCUACUAGGACUCCAAACCUAGUAGGAUUCGCCCCCCUUUCCUUCCAACGGAGAGGGGGAAAGGGGAAAGGAGGGAGAGGUAGAAGGAAAGAGGGGGGUCGCGCCCCUUCCCCUUGUCCAAUUUGGAUUGGGGAAAGGGGGGCAUGACCCACCUCUUGUGGCCUGCCUCCUCUCCUCCACUAUGGCCCAUUAGGCCCAAUAACUUUCCCGGGGGGUUCCGAUAGCCUCCCGGUACUCCGAUAAAUCCCCGAACUUUAUCGGAACCAUUCCGAUGUCCGUAUAUAACCUUCCAUAUAUCAAUCUUUACCUCUCGACCAUUUCGAGACUCCUCGUCAUGUCCGUGAUCUCAUCCUGGACUCAGAACAAACUUCGGUCAUCAAAUCACAUAACUCAUAAUACAAAUCAUCAUCGAACGUUAAGCGUGCGGACCCUACGGGUUCGAGAACUAUGUAGACAUGACCGAGACACAUCUCCGGUCAAUAACCAAUAGCGGAACCUGGAUGCUCAUAUUGGCUCCUACAUAUUCUAAGAAGAUCUUUAUCAGUCAAACCGCAUAAUAGCAUACGUCAUUCCCUUUGUCAUCGGUAUGUUACUUGCCCAAGAUUCGAUCGUCGGUAUCAUCAUACCUAGUUCAAUCUCGUUACCAGCAAGUCUCUUUACUCGUUCCGUAAUGCAUCAUCCCACAAAUAACUCAUUAGUCACAUUGCUUGCAAGGCUUAUAGUGAUGUGCAUUACCGAGAGGGCCCAGAGAUACCUCUCUGAUACACAGAGUGACAAAUCCUAAUCUCAAUCUAUGCCAACUCAACAAACACCACCGGAGACACCUGUAGAGCGUCUUUAUAGUCACCCAGUUACGUUGUGACGUUUGAUAGCACACAAAGUGUUCCUUCGGUAUUCGGGAGUUGCAUAAUCUCAUAGUCAGAGGAAUAUGUAUAAGUCAUGAAGAAAGCAAUAGCAAUAAUACUUAACUAUCAUUAUGCUAAGCUAACGGAUGGGUCUUGUCCAUCACAUCAUUCUCUAAUGAUGUGAUCCCGUUCAUAAAAUGACAACACAUGUCUAUGGUUAGGAAACUUAACCAUCUUUGAUUAACGAGCUAGUCAAGUAGAGGCAUACUAGGGACACUCUGUUUUGUCUAUGUAUUCACACAUGUACUAAGUUUCCUGUUAAUACAAUUCUAGCAUGAAUAAUAAACAUUUAUCAUGAUAUAAGGAAAUAUAAAUAACAACUUUAUUAUUGCCUCUAGGGCAUAUUUCCUUCAAAAACUAGACCAUCUUGAGGUAGAGGAGGCAUCAUAAACAUAAAACGAUACUCACUCCGUCUCGGUUUAUAGGGCGUGCACGUAGUUCUUGGUCAUCCAUUUGACAAAUUAAAUAUGAUUUAUAUGUCACAAAAAGUAUAUCAUUGGAUUCUUAAGCAGAUGUGGUUUUUAAACAUAUAUUUUUCAUCACAUAUAAUACAUAUAUAUAUAUAGCUAGUUAAAUUCUCAACCUAGAACGACGUACAUGCCCUGUAAACCGAGACGGAGGAAAUACGAGAGUGAAUGAGUGUCCUCACCAGUAGUAAUGACUAGUUGAACAUUAAACUCGUAUUGUGGGUCUGUGGCCAAGAGGUAACUUAAUUUUUGUUAUCGCAAAAAAGAAGCUAAAUACUUUAAACACACGAACCAGUACGAACCAAAAUGAACAAACUUCAUGUUUUUGUUGCAAUUAGUUACCAUUUUCAGUGCUCAGGACAGCUAAACAAAAGGAAAGUGCUAUACCUGCACCUCGGCGCGAGUCCCGCAAGCGAAACACACCGGUCGAGAGACCUCGGAAGAAGAAGAAAACCUCCGGCCACCCCGAAACUACCCUCGAUGACCUCCUGGAUAAACCAUGCCCAAUACAUGCUAUUAUGCUCAAUUCCCGCCCGACUCACAGCCUUCGCGACUGCUGGGUUGUGAGGUAGGUGGCUAAAGGAGGACCCGCCCUUCUGGUAGACAGCCCCAGCCACGCAGAAUAGUCCUCGGACGAAGACGAGGUCAUGAUGAUUUACGAGACCUUCACAUCCAACAACCGGCGCAAAUGAGCCAUGCGGGAAAUCAAUUCUAUCCGACAGGUGCCAACUCGGGGCGCGUGAAUAGACACGCCGAUCACCUUUGAUCACAAAGAUCAACCGAGGUCGACCCUGAACAGGUGCCCCACCGCACUGGUCCUCAACCCAAUUGUGGGUAGCUGCUGACUUCGGAAGGUGCUCAUGGACGAAGGCAGCAGCUUAAAUUUGAUAUGUGCAGACACUCUGGACAAAAUGCAUAUCGAUAAAUCACGCAUAGAACAGAGUGGCACCGUCCGCUGGUUGCUUGUGUUGUUGGUUGAUGUUUGACCUCUAUAGAAGAGACAAAAAAGUGAUCAUGCUUCCUUUAAUUCGACGUUUUUUCAUCGUACGUGAGCUCUUUUCUUUGAUAUUUUUAAUAAUGCACAUGACCUGGUGACUUGCGAUUUUUUUUCUUUUCGAGCCCGGCCACGUGUAGUCCUUGUUGACCUUUUGUUUUUGCGCGGACGGGGCCGAAGGCCAUGCUGCAGUAGUAAAUCACGUGAUGUGCACCGCGACCAAGAUGGAGGGGAAAACGAGAGAACUUAAUGUCUUUUUGCUAAUUAAUAGUAUUGCAUGCAAUGGACUAACAACUGCAUGUCAUGUUUGUUAGUCUCAAGUCACAAAAAGCAUGUACAUCCCACAUCUCUUAUUGGUUGAUAUGUCGUGGAACAAGAAAAGAGGAGGGAGUUUAUGUACCGUGUCUAAAUGUUUUGGAAUUAUUUGGUUUCGUAAGGUGACUUGUACGCCUAGACGGAGGGAGUACUAGAAUUAUCGACUGCACCUUGGAGUUUUCCCACGCGUUGCUUGAUUCCAGUGGAUGAGAAAAUUCUGUGGAUUUGUAGUAGCCCUGCUUGCACCUUGGAACUUGGUCUUGUGAGGUCAGCUUGUUAGAAAUAAUACUUUAGGAUUAUUGUAAUAGGAUCAUUUGCCUAGCAUUAGAUCACCCAGAUAUGAUUAACAGAGUGGUUCGUGAGAUCUUACAGGCUCUCUCGUUGCAGGCACAGCGUGGCCCAUGAUCUCCAGUGGCGAGGAUGAGCAACAGCAGUGGUGCUGCAGUGAUGUAGUUGUGGAGAGACAGCCGCUCAUCCAGGAGCUUCGCCGGUGGCAGCAGGAAGCCGCCGGCACAGCCCUGCGGCGGCCGGCGAGAUGGCCUUCUGAUCCCCGUUAGCACCCUUUUAGGAUAGGUUGUUAGGAGUCGUGGUUUUUUGGUAUGUGUGUAUCAGAGCCCUUCAUGGGUACGACUUCCUCCUUUUAUAUCUGGCGCUAGGUGGAUCAGGGACCAAAACCAAAAGUCGGGUAUGGGUGCAUCCGAUCAGACCACAAUCGUUAGAGGAGGAGACUUUGUCUCCCAUAUUUUUCUCUCGGUUAAAAACAAUAACCUGAGAUCAAUCCCAACAUUCUCCCCCUUGACCGUAAGGUUAAUAAACAUCAUAAGCCCACUCUCAAUAGAAAUAAUAUACCAAAGUAAGGUGUUGCAAUGCCCCAAAAAAUGUCACUGAACCUCAACCCUUAUAGUAUACCAUUCUAUCUUGAAAUGGAUACCAUUUUACUUUAUGGGAGUUGGUUUAUUUAAUGGUCCUAAUUUCCAGGAUCAAACGGCUUUAUGAACCCAUGCCGACAACAUAAUCAUAAAAUGGGUAAAUGGUAAGCCUUAGUAAGUGGAACCGCAAAAGCUUAGAAAUAAAAUCUUAUGUUUGAUCCUGGCCUCUAUCUUUCACAACAGAGACAUAAUGUCAAUGGCUUUGGCAAUACCAUUUAACUUGUUGUUACUCGCAUAGAAAAUUGCGUGUUCAUAUUGCAGUAAGUGGUUACAAAAUGCUGUCUACCACCAUAAUUUCUUGAAUAAAGCUUCUUGACAUACAAUCUGCCCAAUAGCCUCUUAACAUGCCACAUAAGAAAGUGCAUUACUUCUAAUGCCAUUAGUGUCAUUAUAGAGCUUUUCCACGAUAUACUUCCAUAUGCGAGAGUGAGGAUGUAACAUAGCGUGGAAACUUUAAGAUCCACACAUCUUGCAGAAACAAUGUCUGAAUAUCCUAGGAUAUCGAAGUUAUUAGUGAGCAUGCAAACUUUAUUGUCUUGCAUGUCAGCAAGACAUUGGGUGGCUUUUCUAGUGGCCAUUUCUGGACUUACUUGUAUGUUUGCCAAUUAUCCCGAUCACAAACAAGGGCAUGUUCAUAGUUGAAUACACAUAUUGCUUCUGACAGCUGAAGCAUAAGGAACCGACAUUAUCUGAUCAGUUCAUAAUGGUCCCUUGGACACUAAAAUGUCCACCUUUAUUGCCCUUGACUUUAGUAGCAGGUGCGAUAAGAGUACUAGCACAUAAUAUUUUCUUUCGUACUCUAUCGAUGUAUGUCAUCAUAACAAAGCUACACUCCUUUUCGACCUAUAUCUUGGUGAAAUUCAACACAAGCAAAAUAUGAGGCAUCACCAAGAUAAUUUAUGUCGUAAAUAGAAGAUAGAAAUUUUUGGCUCACAAAAAAUAUUCCAUCUUCACAAGGUAGUGAUCUUACUCCCCCUCGUUUUAUAGUAUGAGUGUCCCAACGCUUGUAUUAUCUCAUAAUUGUAUUUCUUUAGAUAACAUACCUUAUGUCAACUUCAACCAUGACAAAACCGUAUGGUUGAGUCAUACAUACAUUCUCAACUAAGUCAACACAAGAGCAUGUCAUAGUAAUAACACAAGCGGCACAACAACUCACUAAGAAAAUUCUAUGGAGUUCCAUACAUCAUUAGAGCUCAUAAUCUUCAUCCUAUAUGGCAACAAGCCACUAAGAUGAUCAUUCACACACAUUAUCAAUCAUAGGGAAAUUGGUGAGUCUCAACACCAAGUGUUGCUUUAGGUAUUUUUCUCUCAAUUUACCUGAUGCAUAUGAACAAAGAUCUAAUGGAGUUAUCCUUAAGAUUAAUGUUCAAAUGCUCCAGGUUCCCUGAUGAUCACUUUAUUUAGAAGAUGGAAAAUAUAUCCAAAAUCUUGAUAACAAUCAUCUCAGUUCUAAACCACAACACCGUUGGGCUGAAGAUGGAAAAGAACAUAAUGAACUGUGACAAAUGAUUAUAAACGAUGUUAGUCAGAAAUAUAACCACAAGACACAUGAUACUGACAAACUUGCCUCUUGGGUGAAGUGUCACAUAUGAUUAUAACCGACGUUGGUCAGAUAUAUAAUCAACAUGUUACAUCAUGAUGGUACUUAGACUAGCAAGCUUGCCACUUUAGCAUUCAUGUGUGCUUCGUAAUGCUCAUAAGGGACUAAGUACACACUAACAUGAUAAAGAAGUCAUUUUUUAUUCAUUCUUCUAAAUAAGACUUGUUGCAUCUUAAUUAGAGAACCAACAUUAGAAAGUGCUUUUCAUACAUUCUCCAACCAAGACUUCUCGUUGGUUCCAUCUUAAUUAGAGAAUUGAGAUACAUAUUUUGCUUAGUUGUACAUGCUAUGAUCUAAGUAGGAGAAGUGAAUGUGAUUUCUCAUAUUAAAAGAGACUUCCAUUCUCCCCUUCAAAAUGUGGUGUAAAACCACAAUUUUGAUGAGGCCUCUUUAAUUACACUUCUCUUACAUUGUAACGCCCCGAGACCGAUGCUCCAGAAGACUUUCAGAUGCUCUGAGUUUCGUCGUGUGAUUUGUUUUGUUUGUUGCAUCCCUUGCAUUGCAUCAUGUCAUCAUGCAACCUUUAAAAAAAAACUCAACUGAAUAAAUUGCAUGGAUCUUUGAUCCAUUUAAAUCGAAGGAAAUGCACAUGUUGAUUUCUCUUUACAACAUAUAAAAUCUCCCAAUAUUAUUAGGGAGCUAUAUUAAAAUAUUCCAUUAACUUUGGAAUUAACCAUAACACACUUGCAAAAUAAUUCCGUGCCUUUUCUGCUUCAAGUUUGGUCUCAAAACUCUGCCCUAAAUUCUUUCUUUACUUUCCGGAGCUCCACCAAAAAUCCGAACAUUUUUGGACCUUCCCAACCCUCACUUCCUAUUCAAAUCAUUUGAAUUAAAUUCAAAUGCAUUUGAAUUUAUAUCUUUCAAUCAUGCCACUUCUAUUUUUCCUGGAUCAAGCGCAUUUUUAUGAGCCCGGGAAAAUUAACCGCAUGCGCAAAUCCUUUCUCUAACCUCUCUUUCUUUUUCUUUUCUCUAAUACCAUUCUGCCAAAGAAUCAAGGGAGAGAGAAGAGAGAGACCCCCAGCGCACCCCAGCCGGCCACUUGGGCCUCCUGUAGCUGCAGCCGGUUAGGCCCAGCCGCGCCCCGCUGUAACCCUAGCCUCCCCUACUCGUUCCCCUUCUCCCAUCGAUCUCUCCCUCCUGCGCCAUCACACGCAACACACACAUCGCCAGGGUGAGCCCUGCUCGAUCUCCUCCUUCCUCGAUGCGCCGUCGUAGAGAGAGAGAGAGAGAGAGAGAGAGAGAGCAGAGUCUCGCCUCGCCCGAUCCCCUCUCCCCAUCGUCCUCCUCCUGCGCCGUGACACGCAGAGAGGAGCAGAGCCCCGCGCCGCCCUCUGCCCGAUGGUGUGCCCGCAAGUUCCCCUCCAGCCGGCCACCGGAGCCUGCUCGCUGCCGCCGGGCUUCGCCUCGCCGCGCUGCCCCAGGACGUCGCUCCCCUGCCGUCUCCGGCGCCGCAGCACCGGAGCUGCUCCUUCCCCGCGACCCCGAGCCCCAAGCGUCGCCUCGUCUCCUAUGCUACGCCCGCACCUCGCCUGCGACUUCUCCACGCCGUCGACCUCCAUCGUGCCUCCCUGCUUCGCCCGGCCGCCAUGCUCCAGCGCCGCCUCGAGCUCAUCAUCCUCGACCUCCAUGCCGUCCCGGAGUCCCUCGUCCGCUGCUGUUGUGUCUCUUCGCCGUUUCGUGAGCACAAGAAUCUCUGCCGCCAAGUUCGACUACGAUCCAUCAAGACCAUUGUGUUGCAUGUCAACAUGAGUACGACCACGGACGGCUACCUCCAGAGGGAUUUCGUCAAGUUCCGCUUCAACAAGUGUACCUCUACGUCUGGGAUUCGCCAAGUACCGCACUGGACAUCAAGUACCUCUAUGAACGACACUGGAAGUAUACGAACGUGUACAACUACCAUCCCGUGCAUGUCACCAAGUACCACGACAUCGACGACCCUUCAAGUUAGACUUCGGUUGCCGUGUACACUACCAUUGCCCCGAAGGCGUUGUAUCCGUCAAGUCCCUCUCCGAGACGUGAACCACUACUUCCGCUACCAUCGCGAGAACGUCUACGUCCUCUACAUCGCACCGACGCGUUCCGCCCCGAAUGCACGCUUCGAAGGUAUAACCAACGAGACGAUCACCCGUGGAUCGAAUGCUUUGUUGUAUGAGAUGCUCGCGUUUGCUCCGUGUCCCAGUUGUCGCUUGCGCGUUCCUUGUUUCCAUGCCACCGACAUGUGGGACACCCGGUUGCCGGGAUCACCCCACCAUCUUUUGCAUGUUUCGCACAUCCGCACACUUGCUCUUUUGCACCGGUAUCUCAAUGAGUUAUCGGAUCAUCGGAAUGUUGCCGUGGCACCAUUUUCGUUGUCGUUGUCGUUGUCGUGGCACCCCUUUCGUUCCACCACGGUGACAAAUGCUUCAUAACAUGCUCAUGUCAACAUUUCCAUAAAAUUGCUUAAAACUUGCAUAUGUCAUCCGCAUCAUGUUAACAACAUUUAAAAUUGUUGUUUGCUUUAAAUUGUUAGAUGACAUAUGGGGAUUUUCCGGAAUUGUUGUUUGUUGUUUCCGGCCUCAUUUAAAUUGCCUAAAUAGGUAGUUUUAUUAUGCUUCACCCCUUGCCACGUUUAAUAACAGUUAAUAUUGUUGGGUACAUAAACGAGAGAGAACUAAAUAAUUGAUGUGGUGUUUCGUCAAUAUGCAACUCGUUGCAUAUUGAGCUCCACUUAAUUUGUAGUAUUGUUUGUUGCACUUUGCCAUGCCAUGCCUUUUUAAACCGGACAUGCAUCAUACUUGAUUGUGCAUCAUGCCAUGUUUAUGAUUGUGUGUUUACUAUGUUGUUUGUUUCUUUCCGGGUUGCUUCUCUCGUUAGCUUCGGUUUCGUUCCGGAGUUGUGAGGAUUCGUUCGACUACGUCCGUUUGUCUUCUUCAUGGACUCGUUCUUCUUCCUUGCGGGAUCUCAGGCAAGAUGACCAUACCCUCGAAAUCACUUCUAUCUUUGCUUGCUAGUUGUUCGCUCUAUCGCUAUGUUGCGCUACCUACCACUUGCUAUAUCAUGCCUGUUGGAAAUAUGCCCUAGAGGCAAUAAUAAAUAGGUUAUUAUUAUAUUUCCUUGUUCAUGAUAAUCGUUUAUUAUCCAUGCUAGAAUUGUAUUGAUAGGAAACUCAGAUACAUGUGUGGAUACAUAGACAACACCAUGUCCCUGGUAAGCCUCUAGUUGACUAGCUCGUUGAUCAAUAGAUGGUUACGGUUUCCUGACCAUGGACAUUGGAUGUCGUUGAUAACGGGAUCACAUCAUUAGGAGAAUGAUGUGAUGGACAAGACCCAAUCCUAAGCCUAGCACAAGAUCGUGUAGUUCGUUUGCUCAGAGCUUUUCUAAUGUCAAGUAUCACUUCCUUAGACCAUGAGAUUGUGCAACUCCCGGAUACCGUAGGAAUGCUUUGGGUGUGCCAAACGUCACAACGUAACUGGGUGGCUAUAAAGGUGCACUACGGGUAUCUCCGAAAGUGUCUGUUGGGUUGGCACGAAUCGAGACUGGGAUUUGUCACUCCGUGUAAACGAAGAGGUAUCUCUGGGCCCACUCGGUAGGACAUCAUCAUAAUGUGCACAAUGUGACCAAGGAGUUGAUCACGGGAUGAUGUGAGUUACGGAACGAGUAAAGAGACUUGCCGGUAACGAGAUUGAACAAGGUAUAGGGAUACCGACGAUCGAAUCUCGGGCAAGUAACAUACCGUUAGACAAAGGGAAUUGAAUACGGGAUUGAUUGAAUCCCCGACAUCGUGGUUCAUCCGAUGAGAUCAUCGUGGAACAUGUGGGAGCCAACAUGGGUAUCCAGAUCCCGCUGUUGGUUAUUGACCGGAGAACGUCUCGGUCAUGUCUGCAUGGUUCCCGAACCCGUAGGGUCUACACGCUUAAGGUUCGAUGACGCUAGGGUUAUAGGGAAAGCAUGUACGUGGUUACCGAAUGUUGUUCGGAGUCCCGGAUGAGAUCCCGGACGUCACGAGGAGUUCCGGAAUGGUCCGGAGGUAAAGAUUUAUAUAUGGGAAGUCAUGUUUUGGUCACCGGAAAAGUUUCGGGUGAAAUCGGUAAUGUACCGGGACCACCGGGAGGGUCCCGGGGGUCCACCAAGUGGGGCCACCAGCCCCAGAAGGCUGCGUGGGCCAAGUGUGGGAGGGGACCAGCCCCAGGUGGGCUGGUGCGCCCCCCCACCAAGGCCCAAGGCGCAUGGGAGAGUGGGAGGGGGCAAACCCUAGGUCCAGAUGGGCCUUAGGGCCCAUCUAGUGGGGCGCCUCCCCCUCUCCUCCCCUUGGCCGCCCCCCUUGAUGGGAUCUAGGGCUGGCCGCCUCCUCUUGGGGGUGGAAACCCUAAGGGGGGCGCAGCCCCCUUCCCCCCUAUAUAUACUUGAGGUUUGGGCUGCCAUACACACACGAGAAAGUCUCCUUUUGGUGCAGCCCUACCCCUCUCCCUCCUCCUCCUCUCCCGCGGUGCUUGGCGAAGCCCUGCGGGAUUGCCACGCUCCUCCACCACCACCAUGCCGUCGUGUUGCUGCUGGAUGGAGUCUUUCCCAACCUCUCCCUCUCUCCUUGCUGGAUCAAGGCGUGGGAGACGUCACCGGGCUGCACGUGUGUUGAACGCGGAGGCACCGUACUUUCGGUGCUUAGAUCGGAAUCAACCGCGAUCUGAAUCGCUACGAGUACGACUCCCUCAUCCGCGUUCUUGCAACGCUUCCGCAUCGCGAUCUACAAGGGUAUGUAGAUUCACUCCCCUUCCCCUUGUUGCUAGAUUACUCCAUAGAUUGAUCUUGGUGAUGCGUAGAAAAUUUUGAAUUUCUGCUACGUUCCCCAACAGUGGCAUCAUGAGCCAGGUCUAUGCGUAGUUUCUAUGCACGAGUAGAACACAAAGUAGUUGUGGGCGUUGAUGUUGCCAAUUCUUCUUGCCGCUACUAGUCUUAUCUUGUUUCGGCGGCAUUGUGGGAUGAAGCGGCCCGGACCGACCUCACACGUACGCUUACGUGAGACAGGUUCCACCGACUGACAUGCACUAGAUGCAUAAGGUGGCUAGCGGGUGUCUGUCUCUCCUACUUUAGUCGGAACGGAUUCGAUGAAAAGGGUCCUUAUGAAGGGUAAAUAGAAAUUGGCAAAUCACGUUGUGGUCAUACGUAGGUAAGAAACGUUCUUGCUAGAAACCUACAAACCACGUAAAAAAACUUGCAACAACAAUUAGAGGACGUCUAACUUGUUUUUGCAGCAAGUGCUAUGUGAUGUGAUAUGGCCAGAAGAUGUGAUGAAUGAUAUAUGUGAUGUAUGAGAUUGAUCAUAUUCUUGUAAUAGGAAUCACGACUUGCAUGUCGAUGAGUAUGACAACCGGCAGGAGCCAUAGGAGUUGUCUUUAUUUUUUGUAUGACCUGCGUGUCAUUGAAUAACGCCAUGUAAGUUACUUUACUUUAUUGCUAAGCGCGUUAGCCAUAGAAGUAGAAGUAACCAUUGGCGUGACAACUUCAAGAAGACACAAUGAUGGAGAUCAUGGUGUCAUGCCGGUGACAAAGAUGAUCAUGGUGCCCCGAAGAUGGAGAUCAAAGGAGCAUAAUGAUAUUGGCCAUAUCAUGUCACUAUUUGAUUGCAUGUGAUGUUUAUCAUGUUUUUGCAUCUUAUUUGCUUAGAACGACGGUAGCAAGUAGGAUGAUCCCUUAUAAUAAUUUCAAGAAAGUGUUCACCCUAACUGUGCACCGUUGCGAAGGUUCGUCGUUUCGAAGCACCACGUGAUGAUCGGGUGUGAUAGAUUCUUACGUUCGAAUACAACGGGUGUUGACGAGCCUAGCAUGUACAGACAUGGCCUCGGCACACACGCAAUACACUUAGGUUGACUUGACGAGCCUAGCAUGUACAGACAUGGCCUCGGAACACGGAGGACCGAAAGGUCGAGCAUGAGUCGUAUAGAAGAUACGAUCAACAUGGAGAUGUUCACCGAUCUUGACUAGUCCGUCUCACGUGAUGAUCGGACACGGCCUAGUUGAACUCGGAUCAUGUUUCACUUAGAUGACUAGAGGGAUGUCUAUCUGAGUGGGAGUUCAUAAUCAGAUGAACUUCAUUAUCAUGAACAUAGUCAAAAAAGGUAUUUGCAAAUUAUGUCAUAGCUUGCGCUUUAAGUUCUACUGGUUUAGAUAUGUUCCUAGAGAAAAAUUUAGUUGAAAGUUGGUAGUACAAAUUAUGCGGACUGGGUCCGUAAACUGAGGAUUGUCCUCAUUGCUGCACAGAAGGCUUAUGUCCUUAAUGCACCGCUCGGUGUGCUGAACCUCAGCGUCGUCUGUAGAUGCUGCGGAACAUCUGACAUACACGUUUUGAUAACUACGUGAUAGUUCAGUGCGUAAUGCUAACGGUUUAGAAUUGUGGCACCAAAGACGUUUUGAAACGUCGCAGAACAUAUGAGAUGUUCCGAAGACUGAAAUUGGGAUUUCAGACUAGUGCCCACGUCAAGAGGUAUGAGACCUCUGACAAGUUUCUUAAGCCUGAAGACUAAGGGAGAAAAGCUCAAUCGUUGAGCAUGUGCUCAGAUUGUCUGAGUGCCACAAUCGCUUGAAUCGAGUGGGAGUUUAUCUUCCAGAUGAGAUAGUGAUGGUUCUCCAUAGUCACUGCCACCAAGCUAUUAGAGCUUCGUGAUGAACUAUAACAUAUCAAGGAUAGAUGAUGAUCCUUGAGCAACUCGCGAUGUUUGACACCGCGAAAGUAGAAAUCAAGAAGGAGCAUCAAUUGUUGAUGGUUAAUAAAACCACUAGUUUAAGAAGGGCAAGGGAAAAAGGGAUACUUCAUGAAACAACAAGUCGUUUGCUGCUCUAGUGAAGAAUCCCAAGGUUGAACCCAAACCCGAGACUAAGUGCUUCUGUAAUAAGAGGAACGGUCACUGAAGCAGUACUACCCUAGAUACUUGGUAGAUGAGAAGGCAGGCAAGGUCGACAGAAGUAUAUUGGAUAUACGUUAGAUGAAUGUGUACUUUACUAGUACUCGUAGUAGCACCAGGGUAUUAGAUACUGGUUCGGUUGCUAAGUGUUAGUAACUCGAAAUAAAAGCUGUGGAAUAAAUGGAGACUAGCUAAAGGUGAGAUGACGAUAUGUGUUGGAAAUGUUUCCAAGGUUGAUGUGAUCAAGCAUCGCAUGCUCCCUCUACCAUCGAGAUUUGGUGUUUGCGUUGAGCAUGAUUGGAUUAUGUUUAUCGCAAUACGGUUAUUCAUUUAAGGAGAAUAAUGGUUACUCUGCUUAUUUGAAUAAUACUUUCAAUGGUCUUGCACCUAAAAUAAAUCUCGAUUGUAGUGAUACACAUGUUCGUGCCAAAAGAUGUAAAAUAGUAAUGAUAGUACCACAUACUUGUGGCACUGCAACUUGAGUCAUAUUGGUAUAAAACGCAUGAAGAAGCUCCAUGUAGAUGGAUCUUUGGACUCGCUCGUUUUUGAAAAGAUUGAGACAUGCGAACCAUGUCUAUUGGUAUAUAUGCAUGAAGAAACUCCAUGCAGAUGGAUCGUUUGGACUCACUUGAUUUUGAAUCACUUGAGACAUGCAAAUCAUACCACAUGGGCAAGAUGACUGAAAAGCCUCGUUUUCAGUAAGAUGGAACAAGAGAGCAACUUGUUGGAUGUAAUACAUUUUGAUGUGUGCAGUCCAAUGAGUGCUGAGGCAUGCAGUGGAUAUUGUUAAGUUCUAACUUCACAGAUGAUUUGAGUAGAUGCUGAGUGUAUUUACUUGAUGGAACACAAUUCUGAAUUAUUGAAAGGUUCAAGUAAUUUCAGAGUGAAGUUGAAGAUCGUCGUGACAAGAGGAUAAAAUGUCUGUGAUAUGAUCAUAGAGAUGAGUAUCUGAGUUACGAGUUUGGCACACAAUUAAGACAAUGUGGAAAGUGUUUCACAAUUAAUACCGCCUGGAACACCAUAGUGUGAUGGUGUGUCCGAACAUCACAACUGCACCCUAUUGGAUAUGGUGCACACCAUGAUGUUUCUUAUCAAAUUACCACUAUCGUUUAUGGGUUAGGCAUUAGAGACAACCACAUUCACUUUAAAAGGGCACCACGCAAUUUCGUUGAGACGACACCGUUUAUAGAAACCUAAGUUGUCGUUUCUUAAAAGUUUGGGGCUGCGAUGCUUAUGUGAAAAAGUUUCAAGCUGAUAAGCUCGAACCCAAAGCGGAUAAAUACAUCUUCAUAGAAAACCCAAAACAGUUGGGUGUACCUCCUAUUUCAGAUCUGGAAGCAAAAGUAAUUGUUUCUAGAAAUGAGUCCUUUCUCGAGGAAAAGUUUCUCUCAAAAGAAUUGAGUGGGAGGAUGGUGGAGACUUGAUAAGGUUAUUGAACCGUCACUUCAACUAGUGUGUAGCAGGGCACAGGAAGUUGUUCCUGUGGCACCUACACCAAUUGAAGUGGAAGCUUAUGAUGGUGAUCAUGAAACUUCAGAUCAAGUCACUACCAAACCUCGUAGGACGACGAGGAUGCGUAAUACUUCAGAGUAGUACGUGAUCCUGUCUUGGAAGUCAUGUUGUUGGGCAACGAUGAACCUAUGAGCUAUGGAGAAGCGAUGGUGGGCCCAUAUUCCGACAAAUGGUUAGAAGCCAUGAAAUCCGAGAUAAAUGGAACUUUGAGAAGAAGACGGACGUGGACGGUAAUGUUACCGUCUAUGAAGCUCGACUUGUGGCAAAGAGUAUUUCCACAAGUUCAAGGAGUUGACUACGAUGAGAUUUGCUCAUCCGCAGCGAUGCUUGGGUCCGUCGGAAUCAUGUAGGCAUUAGCUGCAUUUAUGAAAUCUGGCAGAUGGAUGUCAAAACAAGUUUCCUUACCAGUUUUCGUAAGGAAAGGUUGUAUGUGAUACAAUCAGAAAGGUUUUGUCGAUCCUAAGGAUGCUAAAAGGUAUGCUAGCUCCAGCGAUCCUUCUAAGGACUGGAGUAAGCAUCUCGGAGUUGGAAUGUACGCUUUGAUGAGAUGAUCAAAGAUUUUGGAUUUAUACAAAGUUUAUGAGAAAUUUGUAUUUCCAAUAAAGUGAGUGGGAGCGCUACAACAUUUCUGAUAAGUAUAUGUGAAUGACAUAUUGUUGAUCCGAAAUGAUGUAAAAUUUCUGGAAAGCAUAAAGGGUUGUUUGAAAGGAGUUUUUCAAAGGAAGACCUGGAUAAAAGCUACUUACAUAUUGGGCAUCAAGAUCUAUAGAGAUAGAUCAAGACGCCCGAUGAUACUUUCAAAGAACGCACACCUUGACAUGAUUUUGAAAGAGUUCAAAAUAGAUCAGCAAAGAAGGAGUUCUUGGCUGUGUUACAAGGUGUGAGUAUUGCGUAAGACUCAAGACCUGACCACAGCAGAAGAGAGAGAAAGGACGAAGGUCGUCCCCUAUGCUUUAGACGUAGGCUCUACAGUAUGCUAUGCUGUGUACCACACAUGAAGUGUGCCUUGCCAUGAGUUGGUCAAGGGGUACAAUAGUGAUCCGGGAAUGGAUCACAUGACAGCGGUCGAACAUAUCCUUAGUACCUAGUGGACUAAGGAAUUUUCUCGAUUAUGGAGGUGGAAAGGAGUUCGUCAUAAAGGGUUACGUCGAUGCGAACUUUGACACUAAUCCGGAUGACUCUGAGUAGUAAACCGGAUUCGUAUAGUAGAGCAAUUAUUUGAAAUGGCUCCAAAUAGCGCGUGGUAGCAUCCACAAAGAUGACAUAGAUAUUCGUAAAGCACACACGGAUCUGAAAGGUUCAGACCCGUUGACUAAUAACCUCUCUCACAAGCAUAACAUGAUCAAACCAGAACUCAUUGAGUGUUAAUCACAUAGAGAUGUGAGCUAGAUUGUUGACUCUAGUAAACUCUUGGGUGUUGGUCCCAUGGUGAUGUGACCUGUCAGUGUUAAUCACAUGGUGAUGUGAACUAGAUUAUUGACUCUAGUGCAAGUGGGAGACUGUUGGAAAUAUGCCCUAGAGGCAAUAAUAAAUAGGUUAUUAUUAUAUUUCCUUGUUCAUGAUAAUCGUUUAUUAUCCAUGCUAGAAUUGUAUUGAUAGGAAACUCAGAUACAUGUGUGGAUACAUAGACAACACCAUGUCCCUGGUAAGCCUCUAGUUGACUAGCUCGUUGAUCAAUAGAUGGUUACGGUUUCCUGACCAUGGACAUUGGAUGUCGUUGAUAACGGGAUCACAUCAUUAGGAGAAUGAUGUGAUGGACAAGACCCAAUCCUAGGCCUAGCACAAGAUCGUGUAGUUCGUUUGCUCAGAGCUUUUCUAAUGUCAAGUAUCACUUCCUUAGACCAUGAGAUUGUGCAACUCCCGGAUACCGUAGGAAUGCUUUGGGUGUGCCAAACGUCACAACAUAACUGGGUGGCUAUAAAGGUGCACUACGGGUAUCUCCGAAAGUGUCUGUUGGGUUGGCACGAAUCGAGACUGGGAUUUGUCACUCCGUGUAAACGGAGAGGUAUCUCUGGGCCCACUCGGUAGGACAUCAUCAUUAUGUGCACAAUGUGACCAAGGAGUUGAUCACGGGAUGAUGUGAGUUACGGAACGAGUAAAGAGACUUGCCGGUAACGAGAUUGAACAAGGUAUAGGGAUACCGACGAUCGAAUCUCGGGCAAGUAACAUACCGAUGGACAAAGGGAAUUGAAUACGGGAUUGAUUGAAUCCCCGACAUCGUGGUUCAUCCGAUGAGAUCAUCGUGGAACAUGUGGGAGCCAACAUGGGUAUCCAGAUCCCGCUGUUGGUUAUUGACCGGAGAACGUCUCGGUCAUGUCUGCAUGGUUCCCGAACCCGUAGGGUCUACACGCUUAAGGUUCGAUGACGCUAGGGUUAUAGGGAAAGCAUGUACGUGGUUACCGAAUGUUGUUCGGAGUCCCGGAUGAGAUCCCGGACGUCACGAGGAGUUCCGGAAUGGUCCGGAGGUAAAGAUUUAUAUAUGGGAAGUCAUGUUUUGGUCACCGGAAAAGUUUCGGGUGAAAUCGGUAAUGUACCGGGACCACCGGGAGGGUCCCGGGGGUCCACCAAGUGGGGCCACCAGCCCCAGAAGGCUGCGUGGGCCAAGUGUGGGAGGGGACCAGCCCCAGGUGGGCUGGUGCGCCCCCCCCACCAAGGCCCAAGGCGCAUGGGAGAGUGGGAGGGGGCAAACCCUAGGUCCAGAUGGGCCUUAGGGCCCAUCUAGUGGGGCGCCUCCCCCUCUCCUCCCCUUGGCCGCCCCCUUGAUGGGAUCUAGGGCUGGCUGCCUCCUCUUGGGGGUGGAAACCCUAAGGGGGGUGCAGCCCCCUUCCCCCCUAUAUAUACUUGAGGUUUGGGCUGCCAUACACACAUGAGAAAGUCUCCUUUUGGUGCUGCCCUACCCCUCUCCCUCCUCCUCCUCUCCCACGGUGCUUGGCGAAGCCCUGCGGGAUUGCCACGCUCCUCCACCACCACCAUGCCGUCGUGUUGCUGCUGGAUGGAGUCUUCCCCAACCUCUCCCUCUCUCCUUGCUGGAUCAAGGCGUGGGAGACGUCACCGGGCUGCACGUGUGUUGAACGCGGAGGCACCGUUCUUUCGGUGCUUAGAUCGGAAUCAACCGCGAUCUGAAUCGCUACGAGUACGACUCCCUCAUCCGCGUUCUUGCAACGCUUCCGCAUCGCGAUCUACAAGGGUAUGUAGAUUCACUCCCCUUCCCCUUGUUGCUAGAUUACUCCAUAGAUUGAUCUUGGUGAUGCGUAGAAAAUUUUGAAUUUCUGCUACGUUCCCCAACAAUGCCUCCCAUAUUGCCAUGUCAAGCCUCUAACCCACCUUUCCUAGCAAACCGUUGUUUGGCUAUGUUUUCCGCUUUUGCUCAGCCCCUCUUAUAGCGUUGCUAGUUGCAGGUGAAGAUGAAGAUUGCUCCAUGUUGGAUUAUGUUUAUGUUGGGAUAUCACAAUAUCUCUUAUAUUAUUAAUGCAUCUAUAUACUUGGUAAAGGGUGGAAGGCUCGGCCUUAUGCCUGGUGUUUUGUUCCACUCUUGCCGCCCUAGUUUCCGUCAUACCGGUGUUAUGUUCCUUGAUUUUGCGUCCCUUACGCGGUUGGGUGAUUUAUGGGACCCCCUUGACAGUUCGCUUUGAAUAAAACUCCUCCAGCAAGGCCCAACCUUGGUUUUACAUUUGCCUCACCUAGCCUUUUUUCCCUUGGGAGUCGCGCUCCUGAGGGUCAUCUUAUUUUACCCCCCGGGCUAGUGCUCCUCGGAGUGUUGGUCCAAACUGGAGCCACUUGCAGCGCCACCUCGGGGAAACUGGAGGGCUGGUUUUAGUUGUACGUAGUGUUCAUCCGGUGUGUCCUGAGAACGAGUUACGUGCGACUCCUAUCGGGAUUGUCGACACAUCGGGCGGCUUUGCUGGUCUUGUUUUACCAUUGUCGAAAUGUCUUGUAACCGGGAUUCCGAGACUGAUCGGGUCUUCCUGGGAGAAGGAAUAUCCUUCGUUGACUGUGGGAGCUUAUAAUGGGUUAAGUUGGGACACCCCUGCAGGGUAUUAUCUUUCGAAAGCCGUGCCCGUGGUUAUGUGGCAGAUGGGAAUUUGUUAAUGUCCGGUUGUAGAGAACUUGACACUUGACUUAAUUAAAACGCAUCAACCGCGUGUGUAGCCGUGAUGGUCUCUUUUCGGCGGAGUCCGGGAAGUGAACACGGCUUUUGGGUUAUGGUUGAUGUAAGUAGGAGUUCAGGAUCACUUCUUGAUCAUUACUAGUUGACGACCGUUCCGUUGCUCCUCUUCUCGCUCUUAUUUGCGUAUGUUAGCCACCAUAUAUGCUAGUGCUUGCUGCAGCUCCACCUCAUUACCCCAUCCUUUCCUAUAAGCUUAAAUAGUCUUGAUCUGGCGGGUGUGAGAUUGCUGAGUCCUCGUGACUCACAGAUACUUCCAAAAUAGUUGCAGGUGUCGUUGAUGCCAGUGCAGGUGACGCAACCGAGCUCAAGUGGGAGUUCGACGAGGACCUUGGUCGAUAUUAUGUUUCUUUUCAUGUUGAUCAGUAGUGGAGCCCAGUUGGGACGAUCAGGGAUCUAGCAGUUGGGUUAUCUUCUUUUCUUUUGGCUUUGACCGUAGUCGGUCUAUGUGUGUACUCUGAAUGUUGUAUGAAUUUUAUUUAUGUAUUGUGUGAAGUGGCAAUUGUAAGCCAACUCUUUAUCCCAUUCUUGUUCAUUACAUGGGAUUGUGUGAAGAUGACCCUUCUUGCGACAAAACCACAAUGCGGUUAUGCCUCUAAGUCGUGCCUCGACACGUGGGAGAUAUAGCCGCAUCGUGGGUGUUACAUACAUCUUCAAUUGUAACAUAGCAUAUGAUCUUUACAACAGAUUCAUUUAGCGAAAACAUAACUCAUCUCACCAUAAGGUGGGACUAACAUUACAUAAUUGGAGUGGACUUAAUAACAUACAAAAUCAUGUCAUCUGUUCGAGAGACAAAAUAAAGUCUCUCCAAUAACUAGGAGCAUGAACAAACAUCAUCAAUAAGAUGCAGAAUUAAUCCAUCUCUAAAUGCUAGUGGAAUAAAUUCAAUAGUUUUGACUUCAACCUCCUUUGCAUUAGUAAUGUGCAUGAUGACACAUGCAACUUAUGAGGACACUCCCAAUGCGUACGUUAACAUCAAGAUUAAAUCCUUCAACAUUAGUGGCAGAAACAUUGGGAGUUUUCUUACACGAGACAAGGAUCUCUACUCUUCACUUGGGAAAGUUAUUUACAUAAAGCUUAUGCCAAAAACAAAGUUUGGCAUCAUUAGUAAAGUUCAUUACUUGAAAAGAGGAGGCAACUAUAUGAACAUCAUAAUAAAAUGUAAGCAUAAAUUAAUCAUGCAAUGAGACGAAUUAAAUACAUGCUUAAUUAUUAUUCCAAUCUGUAUCACCGUUGGGCAGAAAAUAGAAAAGAACCUUACUUAUUUAUAUAUGACACAUGAAAAGUAAUCAACAUUGGUCAGAAUAUCAUCAUAUGCCUUAAUAACAUUUUCUCAUUAAAUAUCUAAUCAAAACUUGUCUUUGGUUCCAUUUUGACUAGAAAAACAUAAAGUCACACAGUGACCAACAAUGACAUUAGCAAUAUUAAUAACAUUCAUUAACACAAGGCAACAGUACAGUCCACUCCAAUGUGUCAUGGGACACAAGGAUUCACAACAUGUUGUAAACAUCUUGUUUUCAAUUUUGACACUUGAUUGACAUUGAAAAUAACAUUAAACCUUAGUGUCAAAAUGAGCAUUAAAAUUCUCAAUGACAUACAAUGAAACCGACACCAGAAUUAACAUAUAAAUAUAAAUGCCAUUGUCAUGGAGUAAACAUUAAACUAGACAUUCGGAGUGAAGAAUGACAGUAAUAUUAUUGUCAAGAAAACAUAACAUUUUCCAAACAAUAAAAUUCGACAUAAAUUUUCAUGAGGAUUCAUAAAAUAACAACAUUUGGCAAAUAGGAGUUGUCAAGCAAAUGACACCAUGUACUUUGUAAAACAAAUUCCCUAAACAAAAUUCCUCUUUCUUUUAGGGGAUUGUCCAUAACUCCAUAAACGUUAUUUUGAAUCUUUAUGCAUAUUUCACGAUGCAUAUCAUAAUGAAAUGGCAUGAAAUGCACCAAAUAGAAAUUUCACUCUUUCCCAAUAGGCAUAUCGCCCCAAUAUCAUUAUGACGCAUAGCAGGGUGCAGAAAACCAAACCAUGCGGCCAUCAACAUUCUCCUUGAGGUGGCCUCAGUCCAUUAGAAAUGAUCACAUCAUUAAGAAAUGCCAUUAGGAUGGCAUCACCAUAUAUUUCACACUCAAAUAAAGUACCCAAUUUUUUUAGAAACUUUAGAGAAUGAAACAUUAUAAAUUGUGAUCAAGAUAAACAUCAUUUUACAAAAUUAAUAUUGAACUUUAAAUGUCAUAAAGAAAAACAUCGUCAUUUAAAAUGCCAUAAAUGACAUUAACAUUAUAGCACAUGACUAUUUUCCAAAUAAAUUCUCAUCGUUCGAUAUUAUUUAGAAAAUUCGAAAAUUAUCUUUAGCAUAAUCUUAGGCAACUAAAACGUAUUAAUGGUGCAUAAACAUUAUCAAUAACUUGGAUCAAAUGCACCAAAAAAAAACUUGCCUAAGACAUUAUUUGACCCGUAUGAACCCACGACAGUCCUUGAUAAAACUUUAUAAUCUUCAAGGUAAGUCUCCACUUUCUGAUAUAACAGUGAAUAAACAAUCAAAAACAAAACUUAAAUCUUCUCUGAAGAUUCAGAAGUGCCCAUAUCGUAAUUCGGCUCAAAGCCCGAACUGGCCCACAACAGUUUCCCACGUGCAGAGAAGAAAAAAAGGAAUAUUGCAGGAUGAUACAACCUGGGCUAAAGCCUGUUGCCGAAAACGGCCCAAAUACUAAGCAGAUCCAUGACAAUUCCCUUCAUCUCGUGUCCG
Molecule: long non-coding RNA, 52453 nt
Filed under: Triticum aestivum (bread wheat)
Lineage: Eukaryota; Viridiplantae; Streptophyta; Magnoliopsida; Poales; Poaceae
Description: long non-coding RNA (TAES_LNC013003)
Source: RNAcentral